RNAcentral lists this long non-coding RNA (68154 nucleotides) under Triticum aestivum (bread wheat). RNAcentral describes it as "long non-coding RNA (TAES_LNC009576)". The stretch from base 40257 to 40343 matches the Rfam family "MIR1120/MIR1122 microRNA precursor family". Lineage: Eukaryota; Viridiplantae; Streptophyta; Magnoliopsida; Poales; Poaceae. The record is from RNAcentral.
UGACACAACAGAAGUUUCACUCUCCGCAUCAAGCCGCUCAUUCCUGAUUCAAUGUUGUUGGCCUAAACUUAAUGGUGGUUGGCUGCUAUCUACAAUCUAUAGCAUGUAUGUUACGUUCUCAUUUGGUGGUGCUAAUCCAGGAUGAAACUGAUAUUUUGAUUUGUGAGCCUUGGUAUGCUCGUUAUGUCAUUCAGUAGGAAGAAAGCAUUGCGCUGCUAUUAACUUGCCCCUCCUCCUACCAAUGCUUUGAAGUGAGUAGUAUUUCUGUGCACACUGUGUCUUUAUGUUCUGAAAUAGCCAUGGCAGUUUUCAAUGCAAUCCUUAAUCUAUCUUUGCAUGAAAGAGUGUUCUCAUUCUGGCCAUGAUGAUGAUACGAUGCCUCAAACUUUCCUUUGGAUGAAAAUUUUGAACUUCUAUUUCCACAAGAAACAUUUUUGGAUUUGUUGAUGGCCUAUUUGCCACAAUGUGCGGAUCACUGUUGAGGAUGCAGUUUUGAUCUUAGUUUGGGCUUGCUCUAGUUCUUCUAAGAUGAGAAUCUUCAUUCUUCCUUAGAUAUUAACUUUAGUGAAAGCAGGCCAUUGCUCAUUAGUUUGUAUCAGUUGAUUUGUUUAUUUGUCUCAUGUAUUUUUGGAUGGCCUACAAGCUGAUACUUUUCCAGGGGCAUUUGAUCUCAGAACUGAAUAGUUGAGUAGUAGGCUAGUGGUUUUUUUAUUGACAACAGAUAUUUCAAAUGCCCUGGUAUUCUUACCGUAGAAGCAAAUCGAUAGUUGUAUGGUAUGGUGUUGAAAAGCAGAUGUCAUCUCAUACAAUAAGGGAAUUUAUGUUAUGGUAACCUUAAAAAGCACAAAUACAAGGCAAGAGGAUGUGUCUCAGCCAAGUGGAUCUCCAUAGUUUGGAGCUCCCGUCUUCAGACCUGACUGCUGGAUGAAUAUGCCUAUCUGCCUCACAUUUUGGUUCCGUUUUUCAGUUUGAGUGAAGCGCCUUGGCUGAGCCGGCUACUGUUCUUGCGCGGAGCAACGGCGAGCGCCAUGCCGUCGUGCCACUGCCCGGUGCCAUGGGAUUGAAACUUGGUGCUAUCAGCUGGCACAAUUGGGGAUAAACGUACUGGGCAUUGCUUCAGCUAAGUUCACGGCUGUGUCCACUUUGCCCGGGAAAACAUAUUUCAAAAUCUUGAUUCGGCCUAUAAAGGUGCCAUUUCGAUAUCUUAUCGACCGAUAAAACACAUUUCACUGCCACUGAGGAGUCCUCCAUGGAUUUAGCUUCCUUGCCUUGAAUAACAAGGCUUCUCGAAUGUUCCUCCUACGGAGCGCAUGGGCCGGCAUGGUGGUCCAGGGUGGAAAUCCGGCCUAGGGGUCCCCGGCCGGGCCAUAACACCCUAAGAAGCGGAAGGAGGAGACGUCGCGAAUGGGGAGGAUUGUUACUGAGAACUUGUUGUGGCCCCUUAGAAGUAAAAGAGUUGGGAUUUUUGAAAGUUAUUUUUUACUCCCCCCGUUUCUUUCUAGUCUGUAUAUAAAAUUUGGCCAAAGUCAAACUUUGUCAACUUUGACUAAGUUUGUAGAAAAAAUAUCAACAUCUUUUUUUGAGGGUAUCUUUUUUGUAGACAAAAUUCUGAACAUCUUUUAGGGCAUUUUGAGCUGAUCUAAAUGGGUCUCUAUAGUCUAACUCAGCCCGGCCCAUCAAGGUUGGACCGGACGCCACGCGACGCAAACCCUCACCACUAUCCCCUCCGUCUCGCCGCCGGCGCCGCCAUGCUCCGGCUCCGGCGCAGCGUGCUCUCGAAGCUCCUCUCGUAUCCCUCCGUCUCUCCUCUCCACCGCCUCAUCUCCACCACGGCGCCGGCCCCCGCCGUCGCCCCCAGCACCGGGUUCGCCGUGGAGGAGUACCUCGUCUCCACCUGCGGCCUCACCCGACCGCAGGCCCUCAAGGCCUCCGCCAAGCUCUCCCACCUCAAGUUCCCCUCCAACCCCGACGCCGUCCUGGCCUUCCUCGCCGGCCUCGGCCUCUCCGGCGCCGACGCCGCCGCCCUCGUCGCCAAGGACCCCAAGUUCCUCUGCGCCGACGUGGGGAGAACCCUGUCCCCCGUCGCCGCGGGGCUCGCCGGCCUCGGCCUGUCGCCUUCCGAGAUCACCCGCCUCGCCUCGCUCGCCCCCGACAAAUUCCGCUCUAGAUCCAUCGUCUCCAAGCUGCACUACUACCUGCCUCUCGUCGGGUCCUACGAGAACCUCCUCGGGGUGCUGAGGUAUGGCUCCUGCCUCGUCUCGUCCGACCUGGAGACGGUGGUCAAGCCCAACGUCGCCUUCCUGCGGGAGUCCGGGCUAGCUGACUGCGACAUUGCCAAGCUGUGCGUCACUCUCCCAUGCCUGCUCACCUCCGGCUGGGAGCGCAUCCAGGCGUUGGUGCUGUGCGCCGAAGGCCUCGGCAUACCCCGUCGGUCCGGGAUGUUCAGGCACGCGCUGCAUGCUGUCGCGUUUGUCGGCGAACAGAAGGUCGCCGCCAAAUUGGAUUGCUUGAAGAGGACGUUUGGGUGGUCAGAUGCUGAGGUCGGCAUUGCUGUGUCCAAGUAUCCGAUGCUGCUGACUAAGUCUCACCACAUGCUGCAGAGCAAGUCAGAGUUCCUGAUCUCCGAGGUGGGGUUGGAACCGGCAUUCAUUGCUAAUCGGCCCGUAAUUGUCUGUCUUAGCCUGGAGGGCCGGCUCAGGCCCCGGUACUACGUUUUAAAGUUUCUCAAGGAAAAUGGAUUGCUCAAGGGUGAUCCGAGCUAUUAUACAGUUGUCAUGGUGAAUGAGAAUGUUUUCGCGCAGAGGUACAUGUGCCCUUACAAGGAAGCUGCACCAUACCUCGCUGAAGACUAUGCAACUGCUUGCGGAGGGGAAGUGCCGGCUAGAUUCGUAUUUGCAUGAGCUGAAAACACAAAUAUUGAAAUUUUGAUGCUUACUGUACCACAUAUUCCACUUUAUGCAGUAGGCUUGUAAGCUUUGUUUCAGUGUUAUUGCCUAACUAAAUGUUGGCUGUCUGAUAUAGUAUGUCUGUCACUGCUUGUUUGUUAGUUGUUAAUGCUUGAUGAAGUUAAUUAUUGUUAGUUGUUAAUGUUUGUAUCAGUUUUUUCAUUUAUUUUUCUCCUAUAUUUCUGAUUAGCCUAAUGGCUGAUGCUUUCAGUUUGAGGCACAACUUGACUCAAAACUGAAUAAUGCAGUAGUAUAUUAUCUUUGUACGUCCUAUUAUCUCCUCCAAAUACUAUGGCUGGUAAACUAAAGCCUCUUCUGAUUUGCACCAAUCAGGGGUUACGUGUGUUCUUUAACAGGUAUGAAUGAAGCUAUGCUGUUAAUUUGUUAUGUCAUCAUUUAAGCCCAGCAGAUUGUUAGAAUGUUUAACCUAAGUCGAGCGUGUUAUCCAAUCUGCCUAGAAUGUUUACAGGCUAUGCUUUAUGCAAACAGAGUUAUGCAUUAACAGAUGCAAGCUGGAUCCGCUAGAUGGCAUCUGAUAUAUUUGUUAGUGCUAUAAAAAUAUAUCUUCACAACUAUAUUGAGCUUUUACUGCUGCCCUUUGUAUUAAAACAUGUUAAUGCUGGAUGUGAUACUGACAACAUGAAUUAUCAGCUACCUAGAAUGUUACUGUCUGGAAAACAUAAUGCUAACUCUAUCUGCGUAUUUGACAAUUUUCCUACUUACAUAUGAUGCCAAGUGUGCAUUAAAGUUUAUGCCCUUUUUGUGUGAUUGUAAGGCUGUGGCUGUAUACCUUUUGAUGUCGUUAGCUCUUGUUGCAGUACCAGAUGAACUCAAUAAUCCACGCUUUCUGUGGAUUCUGUCUCCUCGUUAUGUCAGGUGCCUAUCCGAUUUUUUCCUUCAAUCUUUGGAGUACUGCUAUAGAAAAUUGACCUCCAUCGGGUUUGAACGGAUUGCAGAUAAAUUUUCAGGGCUUCAAGGAGACUGGGAUAGGGUGGAGAGUGGAGAGGUGCGACGGAGAUCAGAAUCUGACUGCUGGCGGCCGCCUUCAGUGGCCGUCGUUUGGUGGUCAGAUAGCUUGACCAGGACAAGAAAGCCAGGCAAGACUAAGAGGCAAACUCUUCAUUUUUUCCUGUGAUGAACUACCCUUAUAUUUUUUUUUCUGUGAUGAACUACCCUUAUCAUUUGCCACUAGAGCAGUUUGCUCUAUUCAUGCCCUGUUUAGUUUGCUCUACGAAAAUAUGCAAAGAUGGCUACUAACAGCUGCAAACAUGUCAUUUCAUCAAUUAUACCGUGUUACCAGUUUAGAGAAAGUGGCAAAGCACAUGCUUUCAUAUUAUUUUCUUUCCAAACUUCCUUUUUGUGGUGUUUUCUAAUUUGUCUCUCUGUUUCCUGAUGCUAACUCAAGUGCUGUUAUUUAGCUUACAAGGCUGGUGAUCCUCACCAUGGAGAAACGGGGAACCAGACGUUGGAGAUUUAUUAAUUUCUUCAUAUGUAAAAAUGGAUCUUGUAAGCAUGAAGAUGUGCCAUGUAGCUAAUACCAUCAAACUCUUGUUACCUCAGCCAAGUUAUUUUAGAUAUAUUUAAUAAUUGCAAUAUUCUUUAACUACUUGAUCAGAACAGCUCCUCAUACUGACAUGUUACUGAGAUAUUUCCUUUGUGUUUCCUCUAAUAAUUUAUGGAACCAUUUAUUAAAAAUUGUAUCUAUGUGGUGUAACCCUACGUGCAUGGACUGUUACAAGGUCAUGGUAAAUUAAGCAGCCCAAUGUGUUAAUGCAAUUGCUAUUCCUUGUAGGCAUCACGAAAUGUUCAGACUAAAUUUGAUAUAUCUUAUAAUUCUACUUGAAAAGAUGAAUAAGACGAGCCAUUCAAGGAAUUGCCAGUCUGAAACCAUGUAGUGAGUUGAGAAACACAAUUGCGUUAGUUGCAGCCAAUUCAGAGGCAUGCCCGAUGAAUGUGGUUUAACAUGCCACCAUGUCGGGUCAAAUGCAGAACAGUGGACAUUUGUGUAUUUGUUCGAAAAGGCUAAAUAGUGUUAGUUUCUUUCUGCCACAAGUACUUAUACAGUUAUACUAAAUCUGAUACAUGCAUGAUAACUUACUUUCACACUGAGCAUUUUAUUUUAUUUUAUUUUGCAUUGUCUGGGAUAGGAACCUGUGCGCUGACAUUUUUUUGUGUGCAUUGGCAACCUUCUGUUGUUGUAAAGCUGUCUUCAUUUUUACUCGGGGCCUCUAAUAGCAUUGUUGCAGAAUGGUUUACUGAAAGUUUUGGACAACACAGCUGAUACUGUUCUAUCGACAGUUGAAUCUGGCAGCUGCUUGUGCAUUCAGUUCUUAAUUCUACAAAUGAAGAUGACAAGACCAUAGUUCACGGGCUGUAGAUUGGCUUUAUAACUCAAGCGAUUUGAAUUCCAUGCCCCUGUUUGUUUGGGCUAAAGCUUCAGGUUUUGCUACUUCUAGCUUCCUAGAAGCACAAGCUGGAACAAACAUCAAAUUUUGUAAAGGGCGGGGCGCUUGGGUUUGGGUCACCCUGCCGCCACCAUUUCCGGCCACCCCACCGGCUGGACCAGCAUACCUCGCAUUCUGUGAUCAGUUCUUCGUAACUGAAUAACAUCUCUGUCGGUUUGUUCAUCAUGUUAUCCUUCGUAUUCUGUCUCGCCAUUCUUAAGUCGAUAUGUUUGUCCGUUCACAUGUUUUUCAUCUACAGCUACUUGGUGAUUCUCCUCACGUCAGUUCUGCUAGAUAUAUCUCAGUAGUUUGUACUCCCUCUGUUUCUAUAUACAUCCGUAUGUAGUUCAUAUUGAAAUCUCUAAAAUGUCUUAUAUUUAGGAACGGAUGGAGUAGUAGUUUUCCCUCCAAGUCAGUUUCAUCCUUAGUUUUAUCUCUACUUGGAAUUGCCUUAGUUUUUUUAUUCCUCUGUGUUGUGUUGAGAGAUAUUGUUUUUCUUCAACGCCCGCACUGUUCAGGUCUGUUCAAUCGACGCCAUAUGAGAUGUGGAAUAGGACAAAAAUCCAACUUGUCUUUUCUUAAAAUGUCUUAUAAUAAAUGUAUUAUUAUAUUUUCAUUUUGCAUGAUUAAGUUCAUAUUUUUGUGCUAUAAUUGCAUUGAUUCUUGAAUGUGAUAUUCGGAGGAAAACUCAAUUGGCAGCUCCAUAAUUGUUGUGGCAAAGUGAAUAUAUUUCUUGGUUUUUUUUCCAUGGCCUAUGCCAUGGUCCCUAUAUAAAAUGCCAUGUUGAGUUUUCCUUGUGUUUUAAUUUCAAUAAACAUGUAUAUAUCAUGGCAAAGUUAACAUGUGUCCCCAUAACAAAAAAACAAUUAUAGACAAACCAUGCCAUUUUUGUGUAGAACCCAUUGCAUUUUUUUAUUAAGUGCAUGGCAUUUUUAUUAUAAAUAGCAUGGGAUUUUAUUUUUCAAAGCGCAUGCCAUUUUUUAGCAGAGCAUGUCAUUUUUAUUGUAAAAUCAUGACACUUUUAUUUUUCUGAGCAUGACACUUUUAUGUUACCAAGCAUGGCAUUUUUAUAGUGUGUCAUUUUGAUUUUGUAGAUCAUGGCAAUUUUGUAGUAAGAGCAUGGCAUUUUUUUAUUGUUAUUGUUUUGUAGAACAUGUUAAGUUUUAUGAGAAAGAGAAUGGUAUUUUUUUUAUUGCGAAGAACAUGCAUUUUCAUUCUUUCUUUUUUUAGAUAGGAUGGCAUUUUUUAGCAUAUCAUGGUAAUUUCAUCUUUGCAUGGCAUUUCAGGUACAAACAUCACGGGCACCUUUUUGUGUGCAUACAUUUUUUUUGUUUCUAUAUAUUUAUGGCUAAUUUAUGUUCUUUUUAUAUUAUUUUUUGUGACUAAUCUAUGUUUUUUUUUUGCAAAAUGAUUUUUUGUGCACACGAAUGAAACCGUGUGCACAUCAAUUUUAUUUCAAAUUAAUAUGCAUUUUUUGGCUUAUGGGAUGACACUGGGAGGAGGAGGCCCAGUUAACAGCUUGACAGGCUAUCUAAUCGCCUUGGGGGUUCUCCUCACAGCGAUAGCUGCUUCCCUGACAGCUGAACUGUUAGGAUUUAAUUAAUUAUAAUAAUCCCUAACCAAGACGGUUGCAUCACGUCCCUACGGGCGCACCCCUUCGGGGGCUAUAUAUAUAUAUGUAUUCCCGUAUCAGUAGGGCUUGCUUUGCUACUUCUCGCAAAAAAGAAGUAAAGGCUUUGCUACACCUACGUAUAUUCUAGGUAAAGCUACGUAAAAACUGAUUUGGGAUGAUUUGAUUGGAAGGAAAAAAUAGCCCGGGCAUCACCCUGUGAAAAUCAUAUAUUAUUUUUGUGUGAUAGACAAUUGUAUGCGUGAGGUUCGCUCCAAAUUUCAACUUAUUUGGACAUCUGAGCAGCUCUUAACAAAAAAGAAAAACAAAUCAGAUCAGAACAAUGUGUGAACAGCAAACUCUUUUACAAAUCUGAAUUUGUCUUUUUUGCUGAGAGUUGCUCAUAUGUCCAAAUAAGUUGAAACUUGAAGCGCACCUCACGCAUAAACUUAUCUACCAUGAAAAAAUAGAUUUAUUUUACUUUUUUAGUAUUUGUUUUGAUUUUUUUCAUCCGGGGUGCAGAUGAGCUCGGGAGCAGAAACGCCGCACUCGUUUAAGUUUACCUAGAUCGGUACGUAGGUGUAGGAUUAUUGUAUCAGUAAAGACAACUGUUCGCUUAUACUCCCUCCGUUCCGAAAUAUAAGUCUUUCUAGAUAUUCCAACAAGUGACUACAUAUGGAACAAAAUAAGUGAAUCUAUAUUCUAAAAUAUGUCUACAUACAUUCGUAUGUUGUAGUUCAUUUGAAAUGUCUAAAAAAAACUUAUAUGUAUUUAGGAACGGAGGGAGUACAUUGUGUGGACUCUCUCUCGAUUGUCUCUCGUUUUUCUGUUAACAGACAGAAGGUCAGUUUUGUUACGAGACGCCCUAGCUUUUGCUUGAGAUUCCAAAGCCCCAAACCCUCCUCCUCGCACGCCACCUUGGCCCCGCUGGCUUCCCGCCUCCCUCCGGCCCCUCAUGCUCAUGGCCGCCGCCACCUCGGCCGCAUUCUUCUCGUCCCGGGCGGCCACCGCCCAAUUGCCUCACGCCGCCUCGGCCGCGGCCCGCAGGGGGUUUGUCUCCUUGGGCAGGGCCGCCGCCGGCGGUUUCUCCUCCGGUAAUGCAUGGCCCUUCUCUUUGGCUUUCGUCGCGCUGCUGGUUUGCUUUGCCACUCGAUCGAUCGGGACAAUUUAAGCAGAUGGUUGAACAAUUUAAGCACCGUUAUAACUUUGUUAGAUUGGAGGUGAAAACUUCUGUACAAGCGCUUAACAAAGAUGAAAGAUCUCUCUCUCUCUCUCUAAUUAAGCACUCAUGUAGGUAUAAAUUCAGGGCUAAAUUAUCUGUUGGAAGGUCUUUUCUCUGUACCUUUUGCAGUAGUAAACUGAUGGUGGUGUGCCCACCCAUGUUGCUGCUGUUGAACAAGCAGUUGUGCAGGAUGCUACAAAGCCGGAAGCUCCAGUUGCUGUCGUUACAGGUGCUUCCAGAGGGAUUGGAAAAGCUGGAUGCAAGGUGAGCUACUUUUGCUGCCUUAAUUAGGUUGUCAUUCUGUAUGUGCAGAAAGAGUCGAUUUCUUCCCCCCUCUUAAAAUCGGUGCCAUUUAUUUCCGAAAGAUGCAACUUCACAUUCCUCUAACUCAAAGCAAUAGAUAUUCUUAGAUGGCCAGAUAUGUGGUUUUAUAGUUAUAACUCUCUCUGCUUGCAUAUGCAAAUGGCUAUUUCCUCCCCAUUUGCACAAUGCUAAAUUUAACCCCAGGGACCUCACGCCGACUUUGCCUGCAGGUCCUAGUGAAUUAUGCACGAUCCUCCAAAGAGGCUGAAGCAGUCUCCAAAGAGGUGAGCUGGUUGAUUAAAACAUAAUAUUUGCACAUAUAUUUUGUUUAAUAUCUGCUUACCCGUCUGUUAAUUUGCAUCAUACAGUUAUAAGAUAUACGAAGACAGACUGUAACUGGUGAUUGCAAUAAGUAUUAUUAAAUUAGUUAGUCUACGUUGUUCUUUCAUUUGCCUCGUACAGGAAUGCGUACGAUUGUUAUCAUUUCUGACCUCUUAUCUGAGUAAGAAAAAACACAGUUGUGCUGAAUUUUCAUUCUCAUUCAUGAGCAAGUGAACAUGACCCUUGUGUUAUGUUUCAGAGAUCAUACAAUGCAAUGUGAAAUAUAGUCAUAUGGUAUUAGUUUCGGAAAAUCUCAUUGGCCCAUUGUAAUUUCUUGUUCAGACUAGUAUAGAUGGUAGCAAUAAUAGUUCACAAAGGCUAAAAGAAAUCAAUUGUAUUUUUCUAAUGUUGACUCAAUAGUUAUUCUGGCUAAAAUAUGCUGAUACCGCCAUUGAAACAUUAUUGGUUUUGGGACAGGCAUCUUUUUUUUAUUUGUUAAAUUGAUCUUUUUCUCUUCAUUUUUUCUCUACUAAGCCUAAAUGCACUGAUCUAUUUGCAAUGUAAUCCUCUUUUGCAGAUUGAAGCAGCUGGUGGUCAGGCUAUUACCUUUGGAGGAGAUGUUUCUAAAGAAGCUGAUGUGGAAUCUAUGAUGAAAGCAGUAAGUUCUUUUUAUGGAUGGAAAAUGUUUUUCCUUUUGCAUAUAUAUUGAUCAGAUUAUACAAACUUGGUUAUCAUUAGUCUAUGGAUUUCACCAGGCUCUUGAUAAAUAGGGAACAAUUGACAUCCUGGUAAAUAAUGCAGGUAGGUACCAACAGUUAAUUAGUUUGCACCAGUUUAGCUUUCUACUGUUAAUUUUUUUCUGUAUGUGAAAUAACAUUCCGUAACCAGGGAUUACGCGAGAUGCCUUGUUGAUGAGGAUGACGGAAUCCCAGUGGCAAGAAGUAAUUGGUCUAAAUCUUACUGGUGUUUUCCUCUGUACAAAGGUACGUGUUCGUCCCUUUAUUUCUUGAAAAUUUUGUACUUGAAUAAUGUUUAUGCUUCUCAAUUACACCUGCACAUUCUUUACAGGCUGCCACAAAAAUAAUGGCGAAGAAAAAGAAGGUUCUUGUUUUGUUUCAUUCUUCGAAUUGGUUUGAACAUUUUUGCUACCAUGCGCUACUUGUUGGAGUUUAAUAUUUUUGGUAUGUGUUAGCCACUGGUCCUAUUAAUCAUACACUCCCUCUGUCCCAAAAUAAGUGACUCAACUUUGUACUAACUUGAUGACGGAGGGAGUACUUCAAUUACACCUUUGCAAGCUUCAUAGCUGUAUCCUUACUUCAUAGCUACUAGGUGAUUCAAUUACACUUAACUUCAUAGCUGAAGGACAAAAAGGUGGCCUCCUUACUUUGCUUUAUUGUGUUUCUGAAAUACUUAGAGCUGAAAGAAAAUUUGUAUAAGGCCAUACCAUGUUGCUAGUGCACCAAAGCAAGAGAAGUAGUUUAUCCCUUUUAGACUUAGUAGGAUACUGUGUUUGUUCUUCAUAAAAGAAGCCCUGCUCAGAAUCAGAAGUCAGCUAAUCAAUUUUUUUGUCAUCCGUUAUAAGAUACUUAUUUAUAUUUAAUGCAGGGAAGAGUCAUCAACAUAGCAUCAGUUGUUGGUCUUACUGGCAAUGCUGGGCAAGCAAAUUACAGUGCUGCCAAGGCUGGGGUCAUUGGUUUCACAAAAGCAGUUGCUAUGGAAUUGGCAAGCAGGAAUAUCAAUGUGAUCUCUCCGUCUUUUCAUUGUUAGCUCGUAACUCAUAAAACCGUAGUCCAACUUCUGAACAGUUUUCAAUACUCAGGUGAAUGCAACCGCACCUGGAUUCAUCGCAUCUGACAUGACCGCUGAACUUGGAGAGGAGCUUGAGAAGAGAAUCUUGUCAACUAUUCCCUUGGGUAUGCAUCUUAAGCUGCAACCUCUGCUUAAAACUAGCAUUGUUCAUAUUCUGACUGUUGUACAUAAAUCCUAAGUGGAGCAAAAGAAAAAAAUUCUUGAGAAAAACUUACUGUAUAGUAUUAUGUUAUGUACAUGUGCGCCCUUGUGCACUAUAUCUACUAAGUGAUUUUUUCCAGUCGGCACUAAUGCUUCAUUCAACAACUUCACAGGGAGGUAUGUCCAGCCACUGGAAGUUGCUGGGUUGGUUGAGUUCUUGGCCUUGAAUCCUGGGGCGAGCUACAUCACCGGACAGGUUGGUGUAAUAUUGACAAUGUUCGUGACAAUUGGUUAUGUGAAACUUAACAGGUUUUUUAUUGAACUAUCUCUUGGCAGGUGUUUGUCAUCGAUGGUGGGAUGGUAAUGUGAAACCUUUACAAGCUUCAUAUAUAGGUUGACAUGUGCUCCACCUAGCGGGAUGUUUUAUGUGUGGUGCGUCCACUACCGGAACAGGGUGCUACCCCGACGGCCAAAACAAUGCCGACGGCCACCGUUGGGUUCCUCGGAGAUAUGCCGACAGCCUGGUCCUGGCCGUCGGCGUAUCCAGGCCGUCGGGUUAGACGGAGCUAAGCCGACGGCACCCGUCGGCAUAGAACGGCCGUCGGCCUAUCUGCAAGUACGCCGACAGCUGCCGUCGGCUUACAAGGGCCGUCGGCAUAGUCGUGGGCCUGGCGACCCCGCUGUUGACGGGCGGCUAACGUCGUUAGAGCUAUGCCGACGGCCGAGGCAGGGGGCCGUCGGCAUAGGUCCACACGCCACGUCACCGAUCCAGGCCGCACCGUCCAAAACAUAUGCCGACGGCUGCCGUCGGCAUACCUAGCCGUCGGCAUAGGUAGACUUUUUUUUCAUAUAUAUUUUUUAAGCUUUUUAUGUAUUAUUAUAUCAACUAACAUGUAGCAUGUUAAAUAUAAACAUACAUAUGAAUAUAUAUGUAGUUUUUUUUCAUAUAUUAUGAAUAUAUAUAUAUAGUUUGUAUUUUUUCGAGCACGUUAAUAAUGUGCGGUCAUGUUCUUUUGAAUAUAGAUCAUUAUAUUUUAUUAAAAUCAAAAACAGCUAUGCCGACAAAAGUUUUGUGGCAGUUGCAAACGCCCGACACCCGUCUUCAGAGUGUGACCCCCCUCACGUCCGCGGUGUGCCCCCCUCAUGGACGGCGCCGGCACCUGGAGGGGGGAAACGGACGCGUCGGGUCUACACGGUGGAUGUAGCUGUGGGUUUGGCCCGGAUGUUGCUCCCGGGUGUCCCUACGGGCCGACCUGACACAACCGGGGCCUCUAAUAGCAUUGUUGCAGAAUGGUUUACUGAAAGUUUUGGACAACACAGCUGAUACUGUUCUAUCGACAGUUGAAUCUGGCAGCUGCUUGCGCAUUCAGUUCUUAAUUCUACAAAUGAAGAUGACAAGACCAUAGUUCACGGGCUGUAGAUUGGCUUUAUAACUCAAGCGAUUUGAAUACCAUGCCCCUGUUUGUUUGGGCUAAAGCUUCAGGUUUUGCUACUUCUAGCUUCCUAGAAGCACAAGCUGGAACAAACAUCAUUCCGGACCCGGUUCUUCCUUGUGUGACCACACAUCCAUCUCAGCAUGAUCAUCUUUGCUACACCUAAAAAGAGCCUCCUCAAAGCUUAACUCCCUAAUUUUUUUAAACACAAAUUCAUUUACUUGUAAGCCAUUGAGUUAAGGUUGACUACUCAAGUACUUCACUAAAUGAUAUUUUGGGCACAUAGUUCACCAGUUCCUCACUAAGAGAAAGAGAACUGGUCCAAACAGGACGACAAGAAAAAACACACACUUCAAUAGAUAUACAAUUUUGACUGCUUCUACAAGUCCAAUCAAUAAUUUCUCCAUCUUCUUAUGUUCAUUGCCAUCACUUUUUCCCUUCUCUAUUGACUUCUCUUGUCUAGACGCUUUUUUCUUCUCUGCUUCCUCAUGAAGAAAUUUAGACGUUGCAUCCACUGUAAUCUCAUUUCUAGCAAUCAGUGUGCCAACAACCAAUAGACCUCUCUUGAUCAUCGAUAGACAAAUGUAUUCUUCUUCGCAAAACCAAAACUUGCAUAUAUUUUUUGAGCAAAUCAAAACGAAAACUUGCAACCUUUCUGCAUAUAGUACAAUAUUAUAUGAGCAAAACAAGCGUGUGGGCCACGUGCCAGGUACGGCCCGAUUAGAUAUGUGCCGGGCCAGGCCCACCACGGGCCGGGCACACAUGCUAACGGGCCGCCGCUGCCGCCCGGCGCGCCAGCAUCGCCGCCAUGCUCCGCCUCCGGGGCUGCAUCCUCCCCCGCCUCCUCUCACCUCCCGCCACCCCCCUCCACCGCCUCCUCUCCGCGGCCGUUUCUCCGAGCCCUCCUAGCUUUGCCGUGGAGGAGUACCUCGUCGCCACCUGUGGCCUCACCCCAGCGCAGGCCCGCAAGGCCUCCCCCAAGCUCUCCCACCUCAAGUCCCCAGCCAACCCCGACGCCGUCCUCGCCUUCCUCGCCGGCCUUGGCCUCUCCGGCGCCGACCUCGCCACCGCCAUCCGCAAGGAUCCCAGGUUGCUCUGCGCGGGCGUGGAGACAACCCUGGCCCCCAAUGUCGCGGAGCUCACCGGCCUGGGUCUCUCGCGUUCUGAGAUCGCGCGCCUCGUCUCGAUCACCGGCACCAGUUUCCGCUGCAAAUCCAUCGUCUCUGGACUGCACUACUGCUUGCCCCUCUUCGGCUCCUCAGAGAACCUCCUUCGGGCCCUAAAGAGUGGCUCCAUUCUCUCGUCCGACCUCGAGCGAGUGGUCAAGCCCAAUGUCGCCUUCCUGCGGGAGUGUGGCCUGGCUACUUGUGAUAUUGCCAGGCUCUGCAUACCUAUGCCAUCGCUGCUCAGCAUCAGCACGGAACGCAUCCAGACAGCAGUGGCGUGCGUCGAAGGUCUUGGUGUACCCCGUGGAUCUCCAAUGUUCAGACAUGCACUACAAGCUGUUGCAUUCCUCAGCCAGGAGAAAAUCACCGCCAAAGUGGAGCACUUGAAGAAAGCGUUCAGGUGGUCGGAUGCCGAGGUGGGUAUUGCCGUUUCUAAGGCUCCAACGUUGCUGACGAGGACCAAGGAGUCGCUGCAGCGCAGGUCUGAGUUCCUCAUCUAUGAGGUGUGGUUGGAACCGGCAUAUAUUGCUUAUCGUCCGGCAAUGCUCACUUACAGCUUGGAGGGCCGGCUCAGGCCCCGGUACUACGUCGUCAGAUUUCUCAAGGAAAAUGGAUUGCUAGAUCACGACCGGGACUACUAUGCUGCAGUCAUGAUCAGCGAGAAGGUAUUCGUCCAGAAGUUUAUAUGCCCUCAUAAGGAUGCUGCACCGCAUCUCGCUCAAGAUUAUGCAACAGCUUGCAGAGGGGAGGUUCCAGCUAGAUUCAGUUUUACAUGAACCAAGACUAAUAAGAAAAUUGGUAUGUUCAUUAUGUCAUUCAGUAGAGAAGAAACCAUCACACUGCUGUGAAAUGGCCAUUUCAGUUUUGAAUGCAAUCCUCAAUCAAUAUUUCCAUGAAAGAAUGGUCUCAUUUUGGCCAUAAAGAUGAUAUGAAGUCUCUACUUUUCUUUGGAUGGAAAUUUUGAACCUCUUUUUCCUUGGGAAACAAUUUUGGAUUUGUUGAUGUGCUGAUCACUGUUGAGGAUCCAGUGGGAAUACGAAGUACAUAAGAAGUACAUACGGAUGUAUAUACGAAGUACAUACGGAUGUAUAUAGACAUAUCAAUAAUUCCUAAAUAUAAGUCUUUUUUAAAGAUUUUAAUACGAAGUACAUACGGAUGUAUAUAGACAUAUUUUAGAGUGUAGAUUCACUCAUUUUGUUCCGUAUGUAGUCCAUAAUUGAAAUCUCUAAAAAGACUUAUAUUUAGGAACGGAGGGAGUAUCUUAUAAUUCCCAUGUGGGUAUUUACUUCCGUAACUAAAAUACUAGGAUACACAAGUUAGACAUUUUGCAAUUGGCCAAGCAAUUGGUCUACCUCUUUUUCAGAUGUUGUCAAUUUCUUAUGAACUCUUUCAUUUUGUUUUCUAUCUGGAUGGCCAUAACAGUUGACAAAAAUUAAUGGGUUUCUCGAAAAGGUAAAGCACCAUCUCAGUAUUUUUGUCCAUGAGAUAAGUUGCUGAUAAUCGAUUCACAGUACUGUUAGCAUUUGUGUAUCCAGUGAGCCAGUGUUGUGAUCUAUUUCAGAGUGUAGUAUUAGAUGGGUGAUGUCUACACCAGAAUUACUUAGCUUUCUUUAUCAGGAUUGUGUGGCCCUGUUGCUUCUUGGCAUCAUUAAUAGCAAGUGGCGUGCUCUUUACAAACGGAACUACCCUCAGAUAUACCACGAGGCAAUAGAAUGGAUCUUAAGCAAGCAAUCUCAAUCUCUACUCCAUAGAGAUAACUGUUAUAAUUUCUGGGGUUAAUUCAGAGUGGUGCUCUAUCUACUGUUGGCACCUUGCCUUCAUUGUAGUAAGUACAUACUAGAUAAAUAGAUGUAUCGUGAUUUCCGUGAACUGUUCUUCCUUUGCACAUUAUGAAAAAAAUUGUAACUAGAGAACAUUCUGUUGGUCUUGGUCGCAUAUGCACGGGUUAUUUUUGCAGCCAAGUGGACCUCCAUGGUUCAAUUGCUUCUAGAAGAUAUGACAGCUGUGAUUUUACAAUCUUUCAUCUGAAGAUGGCCUAGCUAGCUUCAAGAGGGUAGAACAGAUCAACGGAGCGCUGUUAGAGCAAGCCAGUUUUGGGCUAUCUCUUGUGAGAAUUUAUGAGAUUAACAUUGGCUGCACACACACUCAUGAGCCCUAAAGUUGUGGACCGUAGGAAUAUGGAAAACCUGAAUCUGAAUGUGGCUUGUACGUAGCAUCAUGAAAGCAGCUAGCUAGCUGAUUCCUAAUGUCCAAUUGACCAGGUUCAUGUCGAAGAUUCUUUGAAGCUGCUGCUCGAGAUAAGAUCUGAUUGACCGCCAGGAAGGUGAUGUGUUUGUUUGUCAAAGUUGUGGCGAUCCGUGUGUGCAGCAACCUUGGGCCUCUGCACCUGCAAGGAACCGUAGGGUCUACCCCCUCCACUCUCAAUUGGGAGGCGUUAGGGCUACCGCGUUUGGACUUGCAGGAGGUCGAGCUUCCCUUCUCCACGAACGAGAUCAAGGACGCCAUCAAGGAUCUCCCCACGGAUCGGGCACCCGGACCGGAUGGUUUCUCCGGUGCUUUUUACAAAGCCACCUCGGAGAUCAUCUUGCCUGACCUCUUUAUGGCCUUCCAGCAACUGCACGAGCUCAACGGGACAGGCCUGCACCUGAUCAAUGGUGCACACAUCGUGCUCCUCCCGAAAACAGAUGCACCUACCGCCAUGUCCGACUUCCGGCCCAUCAGUCUGUUCCACAGUAUCAUGAAGCUAUUCACUAAGGUGCUUGCCACUAGGGUUGCCAAGCAUAUCGACAACCUGAUUUCUCCAGUACAGAGCGUCUUCAUCAAGGGCAGGUGCAUACAAGACAACUUUCUUUUUGUGCAAGGGAUGGCACGCCACUUCCACCGCACAAAGAAGCCGAUGCUACUGAUCAAGCUUGACAUUGCCAAAGCAUUUGAUACGGUAUCCUGGUCAUACCUCCUCGACAUGCUAAGGGCCAGGGGUUUCGGACAGCGAUGGUGUGAUUGGAUUGCCUUGUGUCUGGCCUCGGCCUCCUCCCGGGUGCUCGUCAAUGGUGUAGCGGGGCGGCCGAUACGGCACCGGCGUGGCCUCCGUCAAGGUGACCCGCUAUCACCUUCCCUGUUCAUCCUAGCGAUGGAGCCGCUGCAGCAACUGUUGGUGCAGGCGGUCCAAGUUGGGUCGCUGAGCCGGUUGCAUGGGCAGGUUCCUUCCUUCCACACCUCUAUGUAUGUGGAUGACGUGGCAAUCUUCGUCAACCCCAUCCGAAUGGAAGUGGAAACGCUGCACCAGAUCAUGCAUGCAUUCGGGGAGGCCACCGGCCUCAAGGUGAACUUCCAGAAGAGCACAAUUCUACCUAUCCAGGGUGCACUUUUUGAUGUGCAGAAUGUCACCGAACCAUUGGGGGCCCCCUGUGCGGCCUUCCCAUGCAAAUUCCUCGGACUACCGCUGUCACUCCGAAAAUGGCGCAAGGUCGACCUCCAACCCCUGCUCGACAAGCUGCUGGCACGACUGGCUUGCUGGAAGCUUAAACUUUUCGCGGCGGCGGGCAGGCUGGUGCUCCUCAACUCGGUCCUCACUGCCUUCACCACCUACUAGUUGUCUGUCCAAGACAUGCCAGCGUGGGUGCGCCGCCAAAUUGACAAGGCCAGAAGAGCUUGGCUGUGGCGUGGGCAAGAGGCAUGCCAUGGGGGUCACUACAAGGUUGCUUGGGGGAGGAUCUGUAGACCAAAGGAGCUGGGCGGCCUCGGGAUCCUGGACCUAGUGCGGUUCGGAUAUGCCUUGAGGCUACGUUGGCUAUGGCUCGAACGGACGGCACCGGAAAGGCCAUGGAUAGGUUUGCCUGUCCCAUGCACCCUACAAGAGAGAGUUCUGUUCGCGGCCGCAAUGGCAGCGCAAGUCAGAGACGGGAAGACGGCGUCCUUUUGGUACGACAGCUGGAUGCAAGGGGAAGCACCCUUCCUUGUAGCACCUGACAUCUUCCAGUUGGCACGUCGAAAAAACAAGAUGGUACAUGCAGCGCUCCGAGACAAUAGCUGGGAGCGGGAUGUGCAGGGGCGGGUGACCACGGGGCUGCUGCCCCAAUUUGUCAACCUCUGGACGAGGGUGGCGGCAACGGGCCAACUAUCGGCAGGACAGGAUGUCUUCUCCUGGAAACUAACGGAGUCAGGCAUUUUCUCCACAAGCUCGGCGUACCACAUGCAGUUCUUGGGAUCCACGAGAUCACCCCUCAUGGCGGCAGUGUGGAAGGCGUGGGCGCCGGCAAAGAUCAAGCUUUUCGCCUGGCUUCUUGCCAUUAACCGGCUCCUUACAGCGGACAGGCUAAUGGCGAGGAAAUGGCCAAAUUGCUACUUUUGCCCUCUCUGCAUGCGCAACCUGGAGACCAACAUGCAUCUGUUCCAAGAGUGCACAUGGGCUCGACGCCUUUGGGCGAUGGGAGCUGAUCGUUUUCAAUUACCCUCAUGCCAUCCAGAUAACUGGAGCACGACGACUGACACAACAGAGUGGCUCCUGGGAUUGACGACCAACGCAGCGCACGCCAAGAAGGCCAGGUCCAUCUCUCUGCUCAUAGCUUGGACGAUCUGGGGCGAAAGAAACAACCGGAUCUUCAGAGGCCAAGAACGAUCCGUCGAGAGAGCAAUGGACUCCAUUGGUGACGAGAUCACAACCUGGACGUGGGCAGGUGGGAAGCACUUGAUGCCGCGAGAUCACAACCUGGCCGUGGAGGAGUACCUCGUCUCCACCUGCGGCCUCACCCGACCCCAGGCCGUCAAAGCCUCUGCCAAGCUCUCCCACCUCAGGUCCCCCGCCAACGCCGACGCCGUCCUCGCCUUCCUCGCCGGCCUCGGCCUCUCCGGCGCCGACGCCGCCGCCCUCGUCGCCAGGGACCCCAAGUUCCUCUGCGCCAAAGUGGACAAGACCCUGGCGCCCGUCGUCGCCGGGCUCUCUGGCCUCGGCUUAUCGCGGUCUGACAUCGCGCGCCUCUUCCCGCUCGCCGUCCACAAAUUCCGCGAAAAAACUGUGGUCUCCAAGAUGCACUACUACCUGCGCCUCUUUGGCUCAUCCGGCAACCUCCUCCGGGUGAUGAAGUUCUGCAAUGUCCUCUCAUGCAACCUCGAGAGGGUGGUCAAGCCCAAUUUGGCGUUACUGCAAGGGUGCGGACUAGGUGAUUGUGAUAUUGCCAAGUUGUGCAUCUCUACACCGAGGUUGCUCGCCAACAACCCCAAGCGUCUCCAGGCCAUUGUGACAUGCGCUCAAAAUAUAGGUGUGCCCCGUGGUUCUAGGAUGUUCAGGCACGCCCUGCAUGCUGUUGCACCUUUCAGAGAGGAGGAGAUAGCAGCCAGAGUGGAGUACUUGAGGAACACGUUCAGGUGGACGGAUGCCGAGGUGGGCAUGGCUGUUUCUAAGUUUCCACGGGUGCUGACUAAGUCCAAGGAAUCGCUGCAGCGCAGGUCUGAGUUCCUCAUCUCCGAGGCGGGCUUGGAACCGGUGCACAUUGCUCAACGGUCGGUAAUACUCGGGCACAGCCUAGAGGGCCGGCUCAGGCCCCGGUACUAUGCUGUCAAGUUUCUCAAGGAAAAUGGAUUGCUCAAGCGCGACUCAAGCUACUAUACUGUUUUCAAGGAGUCCGAGAAGGCAUUCAAGAAGAUGUUCAUACACCCUCAUAAGGAAGCUGCACCGCACCUUGAAAAAGACUACGAUGCUGCUUGCAAAGGGGAGGUGCCCACUAAUUUCAGAUUCACAUAAGCCAAGAACGGGCUCUGAUGUAACUGUGUGCUGGUUGUCCGCUGCUGUAUGUCUGUUAGAUGCUGGGUUGGUGGUUGUUAACGAGUGAUGAAGCUGAUAAUUUGAUCCCUGGAUACUGAUAUGUAAUGUCAUCACUCAGCAGAGAAGAAACCAUGGAUUUGAUAUCAACUUUUUUUCGUCCUCAUUCAUGUUUUAGACACAUGUACUGGAACUAAGUAAGUGUGAGAUCAGGCCAUUCUGCAAUGCACUAAAAUUUCAGUUUUCAACUUAGUUGCCUGUGCAUUGAGAUAAUGAGCCAACGUAAAGGUCUCCUUCAUUUGUGGGCAAUGCAUUCCUAAUGUUCUACUACUGAUUUUGCUACUCAUAGUGGAUAAUUUGAGUAUAAAUCUGAUGCCCUUCCCAAAUCUAGGUAAAUAGUGGCUUUAGCUUAAUCUAUUUUUCAGUUAUGGUUUGACAUAAAAAUCGUUUUGGUUUGCCCAUAUGCAGACUCAUAGAGAUCUGUUUUUGCUUUAACUAACAAACUAAAGAUAGACUUAGUCAUUCAACUAUAGAAGGUGUCUGCAAGUGAGUUCUCCUUUAGUUGGAUCAGAGGUAACGAUUUGGAGCCAUCAGUCAUAUUGGAAAUACCUGCAGGACGAAAUGUACAGGGCUCACAUCUGGUUAUCUGCUAAAGAGGGAUGCACACUUAACUAAACAUCAAACUCUCAUAUGGAGGAGGUUUGACAUCAUUUAAGUUUAAGUAAAUAAACUUAAGUUUGUCUGUCCAUUCUUAUGCUAGUAAUGUUAUUGAGACAAUGGAGAAGCACUUGCCGCUCUUCUACCUUGCCGCUAGUAAACUUAGGUGUAUUAUCCUGCUCUGCACGAUGGCCAUAAAUUAUGUGUUUAUUGUGGAUGGCCGCUUAAGAUUUUUAGUUCAUUAUUGUGCUUUGGUCCUGUGGGUAAUUCUUUGUGCCAAGCACCACCAGAAGGUUCACUAGCAGCUACGUCGUGUUUCUUCCUUCUGUGUCUGAGCUAGCUCUUCUUUAGUUUGGCUAAAACUGAGUGAUUAAUUUAUUGCUUUGGUUGGUGUGAUCGUGAAUAUAGGCACCAAACAGUUGGUAUCAUGUACAUCCAUACUCUGAAUACAUGUUCUGAAUUUCUGCAGAGACUGCAGUUCUUGAUUACUCGCCCCUAGUAUUCUUGUUUGUAUGAAAAGCUGCACAUAAUCUGCUAGCUUUUGGGAGCACAUUACUUCCAACUGGCGACGUAAGGUGUACCUGAAUUAGUUUCUGCUAUCUUGGGUGUUCAUCUGGAUAAAGAUAUCAUUGAAGUUCAGUGACGGAUAGUAAAAUUUGAUACCUGUGUCUCUAUGAUUUUCGCAAGGCAAAAUUAAGCUUUUGAACUAUUUGAUCUGAAAAGACAAAUAAUUUCAGUAAUUUCGUUAACUUCAAAAGUAACUGCCAAAGCAUGCUAGAAUUAGUUUAACUUCAAGUUGUCAAGCAGAUAAGUUGUAGUUAUCAUGAUCUGUUUUUUUUUUCUGUAACACAGUUAAGCAUUACAUGCUGUCUGUACUUAAACCUUUCAUAUGUCCACUUAUCUCCAGAUUAGGUGUUUGCUACAUGUCAUUUUGCCCUGUUGUUAUUGCUCUGCUUAUUUUACUUGUCGAUGCAGGGUUAUGGAAAGGCUCCUGGGUGUAAGAAUUGCUUUUGUUGGAGAUGGACGUUAAAGGUGCAUUAUUGUUCAACUGUUGAACUAUUUGUUAUUUUCAGCAAGACACAAACCUGUUGAGGUUUGAUCAAGAUUUUGUUGCCUUGUUGGGAAUGAUAAACGGAUAUUUUGUGGUGGUCCAUGCAGUAAUGCAUCAUACACUUGAGUGUUUAUAUGUUUCAUGAUUCAUCAAGUUUCUCUGACCUAUGAUGAUAUCGGCGGCCAACUAUACAUUGAUUUGUUCUGCCCAGCAAAAUGAUAAACCCGUUCCCCUUAUAAGUUGUAAUUGUUGUGGUUGCUAGCAGAUGCUUCUUUUGCUAUUUUUAUAUAUCUCAUAAUUCCCGUGUUGGUAUUAUGUUCUGUAACUAAAAUGCUACAGUGCACAAGUUGACAUUUGGUAAUUGGCCAAGCAAACUGUUAAGUUUAUUAGUCUACCUCUUUUUCUGAUGUUGUCGACUUCUCAUGAACUCUUACGUUUUGUUUUGUAUCACGAUGGCCAGAACAGUUGACUGAAGAUUAUGGGUUUCUCGAAAAGGUAAAGCACUAUCUCAGUAUUUCUGUUCACGAGACAAGUUACUGAUAAUGGAUUAACAGUAGCGUUAGCAUUUUUAUCCAACGAAUGAGUCUGUUUCGCUCUAUUUCAGAGUGUAGCAUUAUAUGGAUGAUGUCCAUACUUGAAUUACUUUGCUUUCUUUAUAAGGAUUGUAUUAGAGUGUGGCCCUGUUGCUUCUUGGUAUCAUUACUAACAAGCAGGGACGGAGCCAGAAAUAAUAUAUAAAGGGGGCCAAUGCAAGAGAUAAAAGGUUGGAGGGGGCCAAACAUAUAAAUUUAGACCACUUUGUGCUAAUUAUCUAGUGGUGUUUUCAGAAAAGAAAAAUAUUAGCAUACAGGGGGCCAUGGCCCCAGCCUGCCCACCCCUGGCUCCGUCACUACUAGCAAGUGGCAUAUGUCACUUUUACCCGUGCUCUUUACACACGAAAGUACCCUCAGAUUUUAGUUUAUAGAUACAUGUCUGUAGAAUCAGUUGUUGUUGUCAAAGCUGCUAGUAAACUGACUUGAAUAUGCAUUUUCCUUGUUGAUCGCCUGAUUCGUUUUAAGUGGUUGUAGUUUAUAGAAAUGGUACUCCAUUAGUUCCACUGGAUGGUGGGAAAUUAUGUGUUACCCGUUCCUUUGCUCCGUGCUGGUUGCUAGUGCUUCCAGAUAAGCUUUCCUCUAAGCGUUGCAGACCAUUCAUAAAACUCUCUCUGUGAUGCAACAGGCUUAGCGUGGUGGUGCGGAAGUGUCGCAGCUCGGCUGAGGGAGCUACGGACCUUAUCAAGAGCAACGUCAUCUCACAUACGCUGGCGACGAAGAUGCAUAUCUUUCCUGUUAGGACUUGUGAGUCUGGGAGAAGAUGCUAUUUUAUUUAUUUAUUUUUUUGAGAUGUGGAGAAUGUGGUAUUCACAUUUCCUGGUCCUGUGUGAUCCCAAGAGCUCUCGGUGCACUAUCAUGCGAAUCUGUGGGUCUGCCCAUGUAAUAACAGGAUGUUUUAUUGCUUGCAGUCCAAAGGUGGGUGUUGGUUGCAGAGCCCGGCUUUGACAGGGAUUAAACGGAUGGAUGAAGUCUUGAAGAUGGCAGAGAUUGAACCGGGCGAGGCCUGAAGGUAUUUCCCCUGGAUGGUACAUGUGUCCUGGAUGGAGCUGCUGCAUACGCCUUUUGUUUGUACAUUAAAAAAAAGUAUCAAUCCAGCUUUUAGAUAGCUGCUCGAAGAUCAAACUUGACUCAGGCCAAGAACCUGUUGUUUGUAGAUACUGAUACCCAUCACUUCAGAUUUAAUUGUCGAAAUCAUUUGGUAUGAGGAAACAUUGCAUUACUACAAAUUGAUCCCCUUCGAUGCACCAAUGUAGAGCAAGAAACCAUUAAGCUCUAAUUUCUCAGCGAGUCAGUUUAUUGGAUAUUUCGUUCUUCAAAAUGUUAUUGUUUUAAUUAUUAGAGCAAGGUCUAAGAACCAAAAUGCAUGAGUUCAAUCCGGAAUCAGUAACCAUGCUUAACGGUUUUCCAUGCUCUUGCGUGUUUUGCAUUUGAACCUUGCAGAAAACAGACACGGCGAGGAUGCGCUGAAACUGGAUGUUGGUGCAUUCUGCUUGCUUCCUUCCUGGUGAUCGGUUGCUUGCUAUAGGUACUGCCUCUGUAAACUAAUAUAAGACUUUUUAGAUCACUGUAGCACGCACGUGUUGAUGUGGCCUGCCAGAUUCUUUGUUGGCCCCUCUUGCUUUGAUUAGUUUGCACAUUAAGCUUCAUGCUUCCCUUUGCUGAAGACAUGUUUGAUCUAUGUUCACGUCGAAAGUUUUGUAUUCUGAAUCUUCCUUCCUGACCUACAACCCAAUUGAACAAGCUAUCUAUAGUUUUUUUUUUUAGAAUCNNNNNNNNNNNNNNNNNNNNNNNNNNNNNNNNNNNNNNNNNNNNNNNNNNNNNNNNNNNNNNNNNNNNNNNNNNNNNNNNNNNNNNNNNNNNNNNNNNNNNNNNNNNNNNNNNNNNNNNNNNNNNNNNNNNNNNNNNNNNNNNNNNNNNNNNNNNNNNNNNNNNNNNNNNNNNNNNNNNNNNNNNNNNNNNNNNNNNNNNNNNNNNNNNNNNNNNNNNNNAGUUUCCCCACCUGAAUAUAUUACUUAAAGUGGCCAAAAAGCCAGAGUGGUGAUCCAGUUUAUAAGGAAAACCGGAUCGAAAACCUUAACAAAUUGACCUCGUUUAUAAGGGAAACCAGGCCGAAAACCCUAAAGGCACGGCCUAGCUGGCAGACAUAAGACCAUCACCAUAAGAGACACAAGUAGAUGUGAGGUGUCGUCGAGAGAUCACAAUACCAUGACUUUGCAAACAACCGAACGCAUCGGCGGGCAUACCGGCCCCAUGGCACAACUCAGGAGCAUCCACAAUCAACGAGUGUCAUCCCAGACACGAACCUUGACUGGAGCUCCGCCAUAGAAAACACGAACCUUGACUGGAGCUCCGCCAUAGAAAGAACGGAACGAAUAGCAGUUUGAGAGGCAUCUUGCGCCAUCCUUGUGCAAAGAUGAGUCGAGACAACACCAAGAGCACCAAGCUCGCCGCAACACAAGGUAACCAUGAGAGGGUCUUGAGCAACCAUUACCAACCUGAGCCACACGAGAACACCACCAUCGUAGACGAAGAGCUCCAAUCAACCGAGAUCAUCCAUGAUGCCUCAAGGCUAUUGGUGCAGCCGAAAGGCAACGAGCAACCGAGUCCACACUCGGACGAAGAGUCACACACUGCCGAGUCUACAUCACAACAGCGGCACCGCCGGCGAAGCCGAAGGGCAUCAAGGAGCCGAGUCUACACCCGGAUCGCUUCUCCAAGCACACCAGCAGAAGCCGGCCGCGCCACCACCACCGUCCAACCCGCAGUGAGCAGCCACCACACAAUCCACCAAGUUGAUGCCUUCAGGAAGGAAUGCGACGUGAAUAGCGCCGCCAUCGGCCGUUCCGGACGGACCAAGAACAUGGGUUUCCCCAGGAGCCUCGAAGGGGAAGUCACCAUGACAGCGAUGCCUCCAAGGAGAUAAGCGGCACCCGCGGGCGUCACCAUCGCUGGCUCCGGUAGGAGCAGUGGCUUUCGCCCAAGUGAGCAGACCACCUCCGAGGAGCACCGGUAGACUACGAAUCGCUGGUCCCUGCACCACCAUAGAGCAAGGAUCACUGCAGCCCGCCGCCGCACGUGACCAAAUCCGGACCACCGCAGGCCAGAUCCUGCUCAGCCGCCAUUGAGCAGCACCACCGCCUCAGGAGCACCGCACCUUGCCGCCGACGAAGUCNNNNNNNNNNNNNNNNNNNNNNNNNNNNNNNNNNNNNNNNNNNNNNNNNNNNNNNNNNNNNNNNNNNNNNNNNNNNNNNNNNNNNNNNNNNNNNNNNNNNNNNNNNNNNNNNNNNNNNNNNNNNNNNNNNNNNNNNNNNNNNNNNNNNNNNNNNNNNNNNNNNNNNNNNNNNNNNNNNNNNNNNNNNNNNNNNNNNNNNNNNNNNNNNNNNNNNNNNNNNNNNNNNNNNNNNNNNNNNNNNNNNNNNNNNNNNNNNNNNNNNNNNNNNNNNNNNNNNNNGAGGGGCCCCGUGCGCCGCCACACGAGCCGGUCCUUGACCGCCGGAUCCGCUCCAUGCCAGGCCUGAAGACGCUGCCGGAGGAGCCACCCACCGGACCUGCGCCCCAGGCCACCGGGACACCGCCGCCGGCCGCCGAGCAAACCAAAGAAGAGCCAACCCCAUCCUCCACCGUGAACACUCGGCGCGGCAGCAGCACCGCGCCCAGGCCCGACCACCACGCCGCCCGAGCGGCCGCAGCGGCCGCCGUCGUCACGCAGACCGAGGCCGCCACCUCGGGGCUCAAGGUCCACCUUGCUCAACGCUACGGCCGGAGAUCCCCCUCCCCUUAGAGGAACGGGGCCUGCCGCCACCGCGGCAGGGGUCGGCGGCAGGGGAGCAGCGGAGGGCCGGCCUGGCGGCGCUGGGAUCUGGGGGCCCUCGGGUCGCCUCACGAGGGAGACGACGCGAGGGAGAGGUCUAUUCUCCGCCCAAGCUAUCUAUAGUAGGUGAAAGUUGUUUCUGGAUCACUUGGACUUAGCACAUCAUUACUGAUGAAAAUUGUUUCGGCUGCCAUUAGAGAGAAAAAGCAGACUUCGCCAAUUUCACUUGGGUUAGAGCAACUCUAGCAGACCCCGCAAAACGUCCAGCCAGCAAAAAUUUCGGCGAGUAUGCGGGCUCGGGCCAAUUUUGCGGCCAGAACAGAGCCUGCAUACUCGCCCGGCCCGCAAUUUUUUUUGCCACAGCCCGCAAACCGCACGCCUCGAGCACUAUAAGUGCGGUACCGCGGCCCUUUUGCGGGUCCAAACCCUAUCCCCCCGCCGCCGCGAGCCACCCGAUUCCCCUUUCUCCUCUCCCAAUUUCUCGCCGCCGGCGACCCUCCGCCCCGCCUCCAGCCGUCAUGUGGGGGCGAAUGUGGAGCUCCGGACGCGGUUCCGGCAGCAGAUCCGACCGUGAGAGGGACCAGGAGCGCGAGCGGCGCGUCCGGUCCGACGGCGCGAGGAAGCGCGGCGCGCGGAAGUGGACCAACCGCGGGCUUUUGCCGCCGGCGAGCUUCGACCGCUGCGAGACGGUGGAGUACGACCGCCGGCGCGCGGAAGUGGACCAACCGCGGGCUUUCGCCGCCGGCGAGCUUCGACCGCUGCGAGACGGUGGAGUACGACCGCCGGCGCGCGUCGUUCUCCUCCGCGCGUUCUUCGUACGCCGGAUCCUCCUCCUCCUCCGCCGCGGGCUUCCUCCCCGUGAAGAGGGAGUGGUCGGAUGAGGAGGAGGAGCCGGAGCCGCCGGCGCCGUUCGCUCGGCCGAUUAAGGAGGAGCCUGAAGAGCCCGCUGCCGCGGAGUCGUCAGGCCCGAGGACUACGUCGCGGAGUUCGACGCCGUCGCCGCCGCCAUCGCCGAGCGGAGCGUGCGCGAGGAGGAGGACCGCCGGCGCCACGCCGAGGAGCUCGAAGCCCUCGAGUGGCGGCAGGCGGUCGCCGACAACGUCGCCGCCAACGAGAAGGCUGACGAGUGGCGCCGCAUACGUGCGGAGCAGGCGGAGAAGUAUGUCGAUCUUUGCAGCUCUAGCGAGGAGCAUUGAGCGUCUGGCUCCUCCACGGCGUCGUCCAGUUGCCGCGACCUCGCCGCUGUCAGAUCCGACCCCCUAGUACUAGUUUAACGUAGUAUGUAGUAUAACUAUGCUUGUAGUUUGUGAUGAACAAUGUAGUAUGCGAUGAACAAUGUAGUAUGUGAUGAACUAUGUUUGUGCAAUUUCUCUCGCAAAAGUAUUUUUUUCAAAUUAUGCAAGUUUAGAUACGAAUUCUGCUCGGCCGCGUAUGUUUUUGACCCGCAAAAGCGAUUUUCGUGAACCCGCAAACGCGUUUUGCGGGUCGUAUUUUUGCAGGGUCUGCUAGAGUUGCUCUUAAAAAGUUACAAUUUCAUAGGUAGCAAGUAGUGUUCUUUGCCUAGAGGUUACGGAGAUUCAAAUAGCAAGUUCCCGAAGCAACAAGAUCGCACCUAUGAAAUUCACAAUCGCGCCCAGAAUCUGAAUCGGGCCGAUGGAAGAGCGACCCUUCGAAAAUCGUUGCGCACCAUUCUACGGGUACGCCUCGCUCAUCUCAUUGCUCCACUCGACAUGAAUUUUUGACUCGCUUGCAAUUCGUGGCCGGAUCGAUGCUCAUUCUCCCUUGAAUACAACACAUGUGAUCAGUGGUGCUUUUUUUAUUAAAAAGUCGUGAUAAGAAAAGAGAGGAAAAAAUGAAUUAUUUUUUAGUUUUUUUACUCCAAGAAUUAUUUUUAGUAGGAAAAAAGCUGGGUUUAUAUAUAGGAAUACAACACAUCUAAUAUAUUUUUAUUUAUUAGAUGUGGAAACACUGCCUGGCCUGACGGGUGGGGUCAUUUGGUCAUCAUCAAGGUCCAACCAGACCACACCACGCAAACCAUCACCACUCUCUCUCUCUCUCUCUCUCUCUCUCCGCUCGCAUCAACGCGGCCGUUCCCUCGCCGCCGGCGCCACCGCGCCGCCGCCAGCAGAAGUACGCCAUGCUCCGCCUCCACAAGUAUGUCCUCACCCAACUGCUCCCUUCUUCCUCCGCCUCCGCCAUCUCCCCUCUCAGCCGCCUCAUCUCCGCCGCCGCGCCCGCCGUUUCCCCCAACCCUAGCUUCGCCGUGGAGGAGUACCUCGUCUCCACCUGCGGCCUCACCCGACCACAGGCCGCCAAGGCCUCCGCCAAGCUCUCCCACCUCAAGUCCCCCGCCAAUCCCGACGCCGUGCUCGCCUUCUCGCCGGCCUCGGCCUCUCCGACGCCGAUGUCGCAGCUCUCGUUGCCAAGGACCCCAAGUUCCUCUGCGCCGGCGUCGAGAGAACCCUGGCCCCCGUCGUCGUCGGGCUCACCGGCCUCGGCCUCUCGCGUCCUGAGAUCGCACGCCUCGUCUCGCUCGCCGGCGAAAAAUUCCGCGGCAGAUCUGUCGCCUCGAAGCUAUCCUACUUCCUGUCCCUCUUCGGAUCCUACGACAACCUCCUCCGGGUACUCAAGCACAGCCCUAAUCUCCUCGGAUGCGACCUCGACAAGAUUGUCAAGCCCAACGUCGCCUUCCUCCUGGAGUGCGGGCUAGGUGCUUGCGAUAUUGCCAAGCUGUGCAUCUCUUCGCGAUGGCUGCUCUCCACCAACCUCGAACGCCUCCGGGCAAUGGUGGCAUGCGCCGAAGGUAUCGGUGUGCCACGUGGCUCUGGGAUGUUCAGACCGAUGUUGCGUGCUGUCGCAUUCCUCAGCCAGGAGAAGAUCACCGCCAAAGUGAACUACAUGAAGAACACGUUCAGAUGGUCGGAUGCUGAGGUGGGCAUUGCUAUUUCUAAGGCUCCAACGUUGCUGACGAGGGAUAAGGAAUCGCUGCAGCACAGGUCCGAGUUCCUCAUCUCCGUGGUGGGGUUGGCACCAGCAUACAUUGCUUAUCGUCCAGCAAUGCUCAUGUACAGCUUGGAGGGCAGGAUCAGACCCCGAUACUACGUUGUAAAGUUUCUCAAGCAAAAUGGAUUGCUAGAUCACGACCGGGAUUUCUAUAAUACAGUCAUGGUCAGUGAGAAGGUAUUUAUGGAAAGGUUCAUAUGCCCUCACAAGAAAGCUGCAGCACAUCUCGCUGAAGACUAUGCCACCGCUUGUAGAGGGGAAGUGCCCGCCAGAUUCACUUUUACAUGAACCAAGACCAGUAUGAAAACUGGUAUGUCAUUCUGUAGAGAAGAAAACAUCGCACUGCUAUGAACUUGUUCUUCCUUGUGUCAUAUUGACACACAGAUUGGAACUAAGAGAGUGAGAUCAGGGCAUCCUGCCAAUUUAUUUGAAGUAUCAAUGAGUGAGAUCAGGGAGCCUUGGCGCAGUGGUAAAGCUGCUGCCUUGUGACCAUGAGGUCACGGGUUCAAGUCCUGGAAACAGCCUCUUGCAGAAAUGUAGGGAAAGGCUGCGUACAAUAGACCCAAAGUGGUCGGACCCUUCCCCAGACCCUGCGCAAGCGGGAGCUACAUGCACUGGGGCUGCCCUUUUUUAUCAAUGAGUAGUAUUUCUGCACACUCUGUAUCUUUGUGUUCUGAAAUGGCCAUUGCAGUGUUCUCAAUGCAAUCCUCCAUCUGCCUUUCAUGAAAGAAUGUUCUCAUUUUGGCCAUGAAGAUGAUAUGAAGUCUCAAACUUCCCUGGGAGUAGUAUUUCUGUUUCUCACUAGUAAUUUGUUUCAGUUUUCGUUUAUUUGUCUCUUGUAGUUUUGGAUGGCCUUCUGGGUGAUACUUUUCUAGGGAAUCUGAUCUCGAAACCGAAUAGUUGAGUAGUAGGCUAGUAUCAUUUUUGUUGAAAGCCUAUUUGUAUAUCACUAUGUAAACAGAAAAUUCUAAUGCCCUGGUCAUUGUACUGGAGAAGCAAAUGGUAACCUUAAAAAGGGUUAUGGCAUUACCAUGUAAAUUUCUGCUAUAUCUUUUAGCUAAUUUUGUCAUUCCAUAAUCGCACUAUCUAUAUUGAUCGCGAGGGCAUAUUUAUCCCUUAGCAUAUUUGUUUAGGGUAGUAUAGUGGGUCUUAUGUACGUCAUUUUUGCAAAUUUCUAUCUGGAAAGUCAGAAUAGGAAAAGGAAAAAAGCCGGAUGGGAUUCCAUGUAGUCUGGAAUCUUGCAGAAUUUCAAAUAUAGGAAUUACUAUGUGCCUCAGUCUACGAACCAACCUGUGAGGAUGGUGCACAUUUGUUUGUUCCUGAUGUGAGUCUGUGGAAGUUGGAAGAAAUGUGAUCUCUGGUGUGUGCGUGCGGUAAGGCAAAGGAGUGGUCCAUGCUAUACUGGCCAAGAGAUGUGGUUUGAAGAUCAGCUAGCUGUGUGUCCCUUCUGUGGUGCUUGUUGAAAUUAUAGAAACAAGAUGAAUGAAAUGCAGGCGAGGGGAACAGGUUGAUCAAUGAAACAACUUACCACCAGGUGAGGAGACGUGGAGGUUUCCUCAAGCAAAGAGUGGCUGCGCAACAGGAGGAUACUGAUUUAAUGAAUGUGGAUGGUGCUUUCUUUCUUCCAGGUGAAAUGUGCUGAAAGUGGAUAUUGAUGGUGCUUUUUUCUUCUUCCAGGAAAAGCGACAAAACAUGAUGGCUAUGGCUUUGCUGUACUAUACAUGAUUCCGAAGGCCCUGUUAGUUGAUGAUGCCCUGAAGAUUCAGUGACAAGUAUGACCUGACAAUGGCGUAAGUUUUAUUCAGGGAAGCUCCUACAUUUCUCUUUUUUGAAUUUUGCAAGUUAAGUAAUCCGUCUAGUAUUGUACUAGUAUUGAUGUGAAUAAACUAGCAUCUGGUACUUUAAUCAUUUUUUGCAAUUUGCUGGAUCUUCACUUGGAUGUAAACAGUUUGUGCGAGUUAGACAUGCAUGUAAACAGUAUGCAUUAUGCAAAAUUUGUACUCUGAACUCUGAAUUUGAGUCAGAGCUGAACAUUAACUUGAAUCUUUCAGACUCCAUGUGUGAACUCUAAAACUUAUUACCCAAUUCAAGUGUCAAGCUAUGGUAAGCAUUCAGAAAUCUUUGAGGAGCCAGAGGUAACAUCAAUCUUGUUCUAUACUUGAGCGUGUAUGUGGACUUUUACUGUAGGGGAAGUAUAGUGUUUACCAGCUCAAUAUAUAUUGUUGUGCACUUGGCUUCUGUUGCCAACUUUGACCUCAUCUGAUUGUUGUCGUUGCAGUGAGUGGCUGGCUUAAAUCUCUUCCUGGUUCCUACCGGGGAAAGGAAGAUUGCGACUGUCAGAGUUGCUGGGACACUUUGCAGGAUCUGGAAGGCCAAAAGAAUAUGGCCUGUUUCGAGUUGCGACCCCAGUUGAGUGAUUUUUCACAUUUGCUACUGGAUUAACAAGCGUUGGAUGUUGGUACAGGCGACGGAGGGGAAAAAGGGAGGCACCGCAACAGCGCGCAGAGCUCAUGGGAUCUGAAGUGUUUUCCAAUCCAUGGAGGCAGGAGCUUUUCUGGGUGGCUGUAUUUGGUAUUGCUCCUCUUUUGUAUCUCUUUCUCUUGGGCGCUGAGUCUGUCUCUACUAUGAACCGGCUGGUUCAUCGCCGGUUUAAUUUUCUGUUACUGAUGUACAGUAUUCUGUUACAAUGAAUAUCUGAAAAAGAACAUAACAACCAACUUUGCUUCCAGAAUUGCAGAAUAGGCUUAAUAAUUGCAAAAUUCUGGAACCAUGGCAAUUCAGGUUACUCUGGAACUCUGAAUCUUCCUCCCUGACAAUGACAUACACCCAAGCACUGGCGGAGCUAUGUGUAUGGCUGGGGGGCUGUGGCCCCCCCAAGCCUGGUAGCUUUUGUGAAGAAUUUUUUUUGGGAUGGCAUAGAUUGAGAAAAAUAGGGACUUUUACCCCUUCAUAAAGCCAUAUUUUGCCAUUGGCCCCCCCAAUGGUCCUGUGCUAGCUCCGCCAUAGUCUGAUUUGUAUAUUGCCCUCUAACGGCCAAAUUUCAUCAGUAAUGAUGAUGUACUCCUACUAGGACUCUUCUUUCUCUAUAGCAGUACGGGCCAUGUUAUUUACCAAAUGAACUUCACAAAAAGGAAAUUUGACAAGCAAAUUUCACCAGCAAUGAUGUACUAGUAUUGUUCUUUAUAGAAAUACGGGCAAUGUUAUUUACCAACUGUUAGCUUGCAAAAACAACUUAUAUUGUGGGACGUAGGAAGUAGGUGCCACCAUGUUUCCUACUCAUUCUGCGUAACUAGGAUGCACGAUGCGGUUGUGGCCAGAACAAUUUCAGCGUGAUUACAUUGCUUGUAGUCGGGUCAUUUAGGGGCCUUAGCUGGUGAUCCGGGCUGUUUCUCUCUCAACGAUGAAGCUUAUCCCCCAUCGUCUCACUGGCCGACCCCGACCCCUGUUAUUUUUGGGUCAUACCUAGUAUUCAGAGUUUGCCUCGAUUUGGUACCGGAUCAAUGCUCAUUCUCUGUAAACAAAUGUAAGACAUUUUAUAAGUCACUGGCAAGUGACCACAACAUAUUACCAAGGUACCUUCCUACUGUAUUUAGAUCAAAAGAGAAAAGGAAAAAACCUCAAUUAUUUUUGUACAACAACAACAACAACUCGUCUUUACCGAGUGUAGGAUUGGGACGCGGAUUUGGUGAACAUGGGUGCACGCGCACCCUUUAUAAUAUUAAAUUCAAAAAAAUACUAGAAAAAAUCAAGAAAAUCUGAAUUUAUUUUUGUAAUAUACAUACACAGCCGGUACACUCGCAUAUGAAGUUUCACGAAGAAAUUACAUCCGUGAUGAUCUGGGAAAAAAUGACAAAAUCGAAGGUAAUCGAAGUUAUAUUAAAAAACACUGUUUAAUGAAUAGUAUGGUCGCAUUGGUAUUUUCUUCACUAAGAAUACCAUGGGUGUCAAUAUAUCAUGAAACUUCACACAUGAGUAGAAUGAACGACUAAGUUUCAUACUGCGAAAUUUCAAAAAAAUAAUAUUUUUUUCUAGUAUUUUUUUAUGAAUUUACUAUUCACAUGGGUGCGCGCGCACCCAUGUUCACCUUUGUAUUUUCGGUAGGAUUGUCUCUUUUCUUUUUACAAUACAAUACGAGGGAAAUUCGUGUAUGUGCUGCUCCAGCCCAGCCCAUUAUCAGAUCAGAUGUGAGAGACACUGUUUGACGAGUGGGGCCACUUGCUCAGCUUCAGCAAGGUCCGACCAGAUCACACCACGCAAAUCCUCACCCCUCUCUCUCUCUCUCGCACCACCGCCGUUCCCUCGCCGCCGGCGCCCCCGCGCCGCCUGGAUUUUCACUGUCGUGCAUGAAUCGUGCGAGUUUUCUCGUCUGUAUAGCACUGUUCUUUGAAUAAACAUCUAGCAGCAUCUGAUGCUUGGAUGUAAACAUUUGAAAGAGUCACGCAUGCAUGUAAACAGUAAGCGUUAUGUAAAUUUUGUACUCUGAACUUGAAUCAGAGCUGAAUGUUAGCCCUGAAUCUUUCAGACUUCAUGUGUGAACUCUGAAACUUAUUAUACCCAAGACAAGUGUGAAGCUAUAUAGUACUUUAAAAAUCUUUCAGGGGCCAAGUUAACUCGAAUCAGAGCUGAAAAAUAGAGAUCUUACAACAAAGUUUUUUAACUAUGCAUUUUCCCCCAACAGCGACGUUUUAUAUUUGGCUGCCGGAAGCUCUAAUAUGGCCAGCUUUUAUGUGUGGUUCACUUCAGACGCUUCAGGGCCACACCUUGUUUAUCAGUAUUUUCCAUUAUCACAGCGGCAUCUGUAUGACAAGAGUUGUUAUGUUUUUAGAACAUUGGGACUGGGCUCUUGUAUCUUUUUUCAUAAAUGUCCAAUUUAGUUAUUAAAAUGCGCAUAUUUUUGUACAGGUUCACUGAAAACCUGAAAAAUAACAUAAUGAACAACUUUGCUUCCAGGACUGCAGAAUAGGCUUAGUAAUUGCAAAGUCCUGGAACCAUGGCAAUUCAGGUUACUCUGAAACUCUGAAUCUUCCUCCCUGACUUGCGCCCAAGUGAACAAGCUAUCGAUAGUAAGUGAAAGUUAUUUCUGAAUCUAUCUAUAGUAAGUCUGUAGAAAUUUGAACCCUGAAGAAAACAUGGAUGUACUGAACAUUUAAGAGAAGAGUAGAGAGGGAACUAUGUAUUUGAUAGAGAGUAAACAACCCAACCGUUAUAAUUUAACUUUUGAGCUAUCAGCUUAUGAGAUGGCAGUAGGAUUAUCUUAUAUUUUAUUGAUUGUUCUCUGCAAAAUCCAGUGUCCUCAAAUAUGGACUCAGUAUAAUGUUUGAGAGUUUUAUGCAGUGCUACUUUGAUUCAACAGGCAGCCAUUAAGUUGAGGUAAGAGCUCAUAUGGGAGCCAUACUUCAGGAAUGCAUAGUUGAAUUAUCAUUCAAAUUUCCUGUCAUAGAUCACUGUGAUUGUCUUGAAAGAUCACUCUCAUGUUACAGGUCGGUCAUGCUAUAUCGUUGACAUAUUUCUUGAAGACUGCCUCCAGAGAGGCAGUGGAGGAUCUAGUGCAGAAUUUGAUCAUCCAGAAAGGUCGUGCUUCCAUUGUGCAGAGAACCUCAUGCAUGACAAGACGUUUUUUGUUUGCCUUUUGCCGUCACGUUGCCAGCAUAACUGUGCUUGCAAUGCAUUUGGCUGACUAUCUUCCUCCACUGGACAACUUGUAAUUUGCACAAACUUGCCUCCGGAUAGUUUAUCCUUGGCCUAAAAGAACCAAUCGUGAUCUUAUAUUUCAAAUCAGCCAGAGGAAAGUCAGAACAGUCCCCUUGCAGUUAUCCGUUUUCCAUCAUGUGAGUUUUCCCUACAUUUGGUUUCUGAUCCUUUUUGAGAACCCCUAAACCAUGCAUUGCAGAGGAAAGCUAUAUGAUGGCAUCUUGCCUAUCACGAAGGCUGAUUACUGCAUUUUCUUGUUUCCACCGGUUGACGACUUCAUGUUAUUCAAGGUGAGCAUGGCGUACGAGGAUGCAUUGUCAGAAAUUCGGGAGUCGGUAAAUUCAGUUUUGAAUUGAUUUGGAUGUGGACCUUUAUUUCUAUCAAGAAUAAGGGAUUCACAAAAGUAAAGAAAUGCUCCUAACUAGUGCACAGGAAGCAGCAAGAAAAUCUAACUGAUGAAAUGGUUGACUCCAGCUUCGUGAUGAACCAACCCAGCUGCAGGAUUGUCGGCCUAAUUGGCCCCCAGGCCAUACAGAGAAGCGAAAAAGAAGGGGCGACUAGAAAAAAACAUAGGAAUUUAUUUUUUUAAAUCAGAUUUUUUAAAAAAUAUUUCUGAUUUUUUCAUGAAUUUGGAAAAGGUUCCCCGAUUAACAAAAUGCCCACAAAUUCGAAAAAAAAGUUUUUCCAUUUAAAAAAUUGUUCAAUAACUUUAAAAAUGGUUUCCAAACUAAAAAUGUUCAUGAAUUUCAAAAUGUUUCUGUAUUUUCAACAAAUAUUCAUGAAUUUGAAAAAUAUAGAUUUCAAAAAAACUUCCCAUAUUUUUAAAAUAUCCCUUAUUUUAAAAAGGUCUACAAAUUAGAACAAUUGUUCAUGAAUUCAAAAAUUGAAAAAACAAAAACAAAAUGGUAAAAGAUAGAAAAGUAGGAAAAAGGAGAAUGAAAAAACCUAAAGAAACCGGGAGAAAGAAACACAUAAUAAAAGGAAAACCUGAUGCAUCCACAGCACAUGCAUGACUUGAAGCGAUGUCCGGUAGAAAGCGUUAGGAAAGGUGGCAGCUGGGAAAUUUCAUGAUCUCGUGCGGUAUGAUAUACACAAAAAAAAUUCUUUGCUGGGAAAUAUACACAAUAUAUGCAUAUGCCGCUGACAUUUAAAAUCAUACAUCUCUGAAUUCAUGAUUUCGAAUUCUACAAGGAAAUCACACCACAUGCUAUUUCACUGCUAGAGAAGACGAUGCCUCACACUCGAGAUGCUUCAGCAGGGCGGGGAAGAUUACUUGCUGACCAGCAACGGCCUCAGAGCCUUGACCAUGAUACUUAUUUUUGGCCGGUGUUCCUUCUCAUGCUGUGUACAGAGCGCUGCCACUGCAGCCAUCUGCUUGCCAGAGUGUGUACAUAAUCAGAAAUGAAAUUGUUAACUUUUACACUAUAGUACCUUGAGGUUAGAAACAUAGCAUGUUUGAGAAUUGCAACAAAAAGUUCAGACAUGGAGCAUACGUCUCCCUCCCUCCCUCCCUCUCCCUCCCUCUCNNNNNNNNNNNNNNNNNNNNNNNNNNNNNNNNNNNNNNNNNNNNNNNNNNNNNNNNNNNNNNNNNNNNNNNNNNNNNNNNNNNNNNNNNNNNNNNNNNNNNNNNNNNNNNNNNNNNNNNNNNNNNNNNNNNNNNNNNNNNNNNNNNNNNNNNNNNNNNNNNNNNNNNNNNNNNNNNNNNNNNNNNNNNNNNNNNNNNNNNNNNNNNNNNNNNNNNNNNNNNNNNNNNNNNNNNNNNNNNNNNNNNNNNNNNNNNNNNNNNNNNNNNNNNNNNNNNNNNNNNNNNNNNNNNNNNNNNNNNNUGAUUGCAUAUAUUACUGCUAGCUUCUCGGUAGAGCAUGGUAGAAUAUGAGCUCAAGAAUAUACCUUGGCGGCAGCCUUGGGAGGGAAAUCUCCACCAAGUCUCGGAUCCACGCAUUGGUGCACCUUGGAUUCAUCAAGUCUUGGUCGAGCCUGCAUGUCGAUGUCAUUAGAGUUUUUCUACUGCAUCUUCUGAAGAAACACUUCUGCUUCAGUACACCCCCGCUAAACGCAUCAACGGUCGAGAUCAGUCCGUACACAUUCAUAAUUAAGGGCAUUAAAAAUAAUUAAGUCAAGUCUAAACCUAUCGAAACCCGUAUGACCCAUCUGAAUCCGUACGUGUCGUGCAUUUAAUAUGGCCGUAUUUGUACAAAUAUGUACGGGCGUCAUCGCCUACUCCACUUGCUCACCCGUCCUUGUCGGCGGCUAACGGCACCAGCAUACCGGCCUCCACCCCAUCCCAGGCCACGCCGCCUCUCCAUCCUGUACCGGUUGUGCCUCUGCUGACGGACAUGGGCUGCAUCAUCUUUACCUUGAAACAUGUCCUUGCGGCGCAGCAGAUUCAUUCAACCUCCAGCUCGAAGUCCAGGCCCCGUGUGGGUGCGUCAGUGCACAACGACGACAGUUUGAUCUGAGACUCAGAGCAGCCUAAUCCAUGCAAGAUUUCGUUUUUAAAUAGAGUCGUUGCAUGUUUGGGAAGCUAAGGACAGAAGAAUACUAUCUCGUGUUUAAACGUUUUCCUUUGGAAUCCAAUCAGAUUUCUCUCUGUCUAGUCUCCAAUCUAUGUGACGGAUGCUUCCCAGCCAGCGGCGAGAGCAGUUAGGACUUAGGAGGUUCUGCCAUGGAUAGACCGCACUAGUACUAAUGAGUUCCGCUUCAAGAAACGAGUCCCGGGAUGCCGAUGGAAUUGGUUUUGAAUAUGGAUUGGGUCAAAUAGAUCUAACCACCUAAUCAGCCAGCUAAUUAAUACCAGAAAUCUUAAUUAAAUGAUGAUGGAUGAAAAUACCCUUUUUCUAGUUUUUUAGAGGGUACCGGAGCACUACUUCUGAGAAAUUAUAUCCAUGAAUGUGCAUACGUACCCAUGUCACGAGGCAUUGUUGGCCACGGGAUAGUGAGGGAUCAAAUGCCUUCCGACCGGUCAAGAGUUCCAGCACAACAACCCCGAAACUGUAGACAUCACUCAUUGUAGAAAACUCUCCGUACAUUGCAUACCUGACAGAACCAAAGAUUAGAUAAGUAGGAGAGUAAUGAUUUUGCUAACCUGGUAGAAGAAUCUGACAGCAGUGGAACAUUUUGUUGCAUACUCAGGCGCAUCAUAAGCGGAACUGGGAGGAUAAUAUUUUCCUCCAGGACAAUCUGGACGGUCCAAAAGAAUAUUGUCUAUGUAGUGAGGGUGUCUGGAAAAACCAGGGUAACCAAUCUUCGCAACGUCACUGUCAAAGAGAAAUAUGUUGCUGGCCUUGAUGCAACUGUGGAUAAUGCAAGGUUCUGUUUUCUCGUGGAGGCACUCGAGCCCACUUGCAGCACCCAGGGCAAUCUUCACGCGUUGCGUCCAUGAUAGAACGAGUCCUGGUUCAGCCCCCGUAACAUUCUUUUUACCUGUGGUCAUAAACCAUGAGAAUAUCAGGCUUUUUGCGGGAGGAACUAUUCUCCAAUAUUCAGAGCAGUUUGUCAAUUUGAUGAUACUUGUUACAUUUUGACCAAAAAAAAAAAUUGGCUCACAGAGUUCCCAGAUUGAUAUGGCACAAGCGUGAACAUUAACACAACAAACUGCCCCUCUCCCCUAGGGCCUUCCUUGGAUUGAGUGUGAUAUUUAUAUUUAUUUGCUCCCCAGUAUUUUUGUUCAAGUUGAGCUAAAUAUCAGUCAACACACAAAAAUCUGGAAGUAACAACUCACCAUGAAGAAUAUCAUGCAAGGAUCCCCUGGAUGCAUACUCAUAAGCAAGAAGAAAGUUGUCUCCUUCAACACAGUAUCCGAGAAGCUGGAGAAUAUUCUCAUGUCUGAAUCUUGAGACCACUGGAAUCUGCAGCAGAAGGGUGGUAGUUACAAGGUAAGCCUUGUUGUACUGAUAAAUGAAGAGCAUUAACUGGAUUGGGAAAAAGGCGAGGCAAUGCGGUGAGGACCUCCAAAGUAACUUCUUCAGUACUGAGUAUCUUGAUCGCGGAUUUAUUUCCAUUGUUCAGCACCCCGAAGAAACAACCACUGGAUAAGCCCCCUAUUACAGCAUCAUUGCUAAAGUUCCUGGUUAUUUUCUUCAGUUCAUCCAUGGAAAUGGUCGGUACCACAUAUGAUGGAAUUUUGUCAGUGUUCUUGGCAGUAGCAGCGGUAACAGGGGUAGGGGAAAGCAUAUCCUGUGCCUUUCCACUUUUAAUAAGUCCAGAGUUGCUACCUACAUUAGGGAGAAAUUGAAAAAUAAAUGAGAAGCUGUUCAAGAAACAUUCAAUUAUUUAGUUAUAUUAUUUAGCACAAUGAAUAUUUAAUGAGAAGCUGUUCAAGAAACAUUCAAUUAUUUAGUUCUAUUAUUUAGCACAAUGAAUAUUUAUCGACAAGCUACUUAUGUGACAAAUCUUGAUUUUAUUUUUCAACCGGGCUAUCCCCCUUUCCAUUACAUUGACAUAAUGGAAAAAACAAGGUCUGAAUUACAGCAACCAGGAUAUGGGAAGUGACAAAUCUGAAUGUGGACUGAACCACCAAUAAGACUUUAGGUGGUUUACCUUGUGGAUUGAACCACCAAUAAGACACCUUUUAGCACAAGAGGAACGAGAAUCACAGAACAUAUUUAUGGGAUACAAGAAAUUUUUAUAUAUCAAUAUUAUUAAAUAAUUUCUACAAUACACAGUUACUUUAUUGAGUUAAUAUUUAUAAAUGAAUUCAAAUGUGUAUAUAUACGAUAAUCAUCUUCUGAGCCCAGGCUCAUUUGCACCUGCCCUGACGAAAAAAAUCAAAACAAAUACUAGAAAAAUUCAAAAAAUUCCAAAUUUUUUUGCAUGGUAGAUAAUUUGAUGCGAGAGGUCCUCCCCAGUUUACAAAUCAUUUUGAUACCUGAGCAGCUCUCAGCAAAAAAAAACAAAUUCGGGGUCUGUAAAAAAGUUUAUUGUUUCUGACCCGAUUUGUCUUUUUUGCCGAGAGCUUCUUAGAUGUCCAAAUGAUUUGAAAAUUGGAGCAAACCUCACGCAUCAAAUUUUCUACCAUGCAAAAAAAGUUCGGAAUUUUUGAUUUUUUUUUAUGAUUUUGUUUCUGACCGGGUGCAGAUGAGCGUGGGCACUGAAUCACUGCACUCGUAUAUAUACAACUAGUGAGAUGAACUUAACAUUAAUUGAAGGAGAGAGGAACUGGUAUUGUAAAAUUAUCAUGCUAAUCAUACAAGACUUUACAAACUCCUUAUGACCUGUAGAAUUUCUGCCCUUCCGCUGGCGGUAAGCUUUUCUAAUCGUCCUAAGCCUGUCCGCCACCUCAACCAUUUCUGGACGCAUUUUGGCCUCCAUUUUCAAGCAUUCAGCUACUAGCUUUGCGACAUCUUCAAGAAAUUUGAUGUUCUUUUUAUCGUUGGCAAUUUCUUCAUCAAACAUUAGUCUCACCUUUUUCCCUUUUCUCAGGGAUUCAACAAAACUCUGAGCAAGAAUGACAUUCCCGUCAACGGCUUUCUUUCGGGUGAUGAUUUCCAGCAAAACGACUCCAAAACUAUAUACAUCACUCUUCGAAGUUAGAAUCCCACUCUGACAGAACAAAGGGUCCAUAUAACCUAUGCAUCCAAUGACAUGUCUGGUAUGCUGAGUCUCAUCAGCAGAAAGGAACCUUGAUAUCCCAAAAUCUGAUAUCUUUGGCCGAAAAUUUUCAUCUAGCAGUAUAUUAGCGGGUUUGAUGUCACCAUGAAGAACGGGACUAUACAUUGAAUGCAUGCAUGAUAAUACUUCAGCUGACUCAAUGGCGAUGUCCAAACGUUUGUCCAAAGGGAAGGGGACAAAACCAUUAGCAUCGCUUCUGCUGCAGUGAAGGAUAUUGUAGAGAUUGCCAUUGCAUGCAAACUCCAUAACAAUAGUAAGAGCAUUUUCCUCCGUGCAGCAACCAAACAGUCUGACAACAUUCUUGUGAUUUAUCUGGGAAUGCACUAUCACCUCUUUGGCGAACUCUUCUUUCUUGGUUCCAUUUUUGUAUCUCUUUACUGCAACUGGACGAAGACCAUCUAAUUUUCCUUUGUAAACCUUACCAAAUCCCCCUUCUCCCAGCACAGUGCUAUACCCACCAGUAAUGUCUUCUAUCUCUUUUUGAGUGAAAGAUCUUAGAUUAUAGUUGGUAUUCACUCUUUCUAGCACCACUUGUCCAUUAACAUGAAGGAAAUCCCUAACAUUGCUCCCUUGGUAAUCCAUUUGCAAACCAAGAUCAAAUUGGUAAUGCGAGGAGAGGUGCGGCUUGCCUGUGUAUGUCAGAAUGUGAACUAAUAUCAGUGGGCUUACUUGAAAUUAAUUGUUGAAUACUACUACCUCCGUCCCAAAAUAUAAGAACGUUUUCAAUACUAUCAUAGUAUCAAAAACGUUCUUAUAUUCUGGGACAGAGGGAGUAUGUUAUACGAGGGGGAAUUUUACCUCUGCAACAAAAGACAUCGUAAUGUUGGCUUAACUUAGAUUGAUUGCAAGUAGUUUCAUUUUACCAAAAAAAAAAAGAGAUUGUAGAACGCAAAAUGUUACCACUAUCAGUUUGGAAUAGCAUUCUUAUGGCAGGGAAGAAAUCCCCUUCUUGCUGAGAUGGGGCAAGGGGAAACUGAAAAGACCAAGGCGGCGCGAAUUGGGAGGCAGGGAAUUGGGGUUUCUGAUUGUUAUACCUCAAACAUGUGCAAUUGUGCAUUCAUAUCUAGAUUUGAACCGGCAAGAUCUGAGUGGCUAGCUGCCCCUGCCCUGGCGUGCCUCCUCGGAGAAGCCGGCCAUUUGGGUGUUUAGACUGUUGAUGAGAAAUUGCCACCACCAAACAAACAGAACCUGGAAAGGAUCCUGAGCCAAACCCCUCGAAGCAUACUAAAUGUGGAUUUUACUAAUCUAUGAGGCAAGAUGUAUUUUUUCCUACAUAUCCCCGAAAUAUUUUGUGCAGAAGCAUGGUGGAUCAUAAUAAUCCCAUGGAGCCAAAAAUCAAUAUGUAUUACACUUAGUCAAGCAAUGGUACCUGUUAAUUCCUCCUCGGUAGGCGCCGCAUGUGGAUCUGAGAUGUGCUCCCUCUAUUUGCUUGCAGUGCGGGGUGACCGAGGGCUUGAGGGGACGACGCCAGGAAGUCAACUGGGAAGGAGCAGCGCAAUAGAUAGGCUGUGACAAAGUCGCAGUGGGGGGCAAACAGAAUUUUCCAAUUCACCAUCCACAUCCACAUCCACAUGCCCCGGCCCCUUCCCCUCGCUCGCCGGUCAUACAACGGCACGCCGGCGAGCUUGGACAGAAUAUACAAGAGCAGCUUUCAAAUUGGCAAUCCCUUGGAAACAAGCAUCAAGGAAAAAUCUCUGAACCGAUCCAAAAAUCAAUAUCCGACUCACCGGAAGGCGGCAAAGAGGGGAACCGGUGCCCGGCGGCGCCGCGCAGCCUGGAAGAGCAUAUGGCUUGCAGGCCGCGGCAUCGGGUUUGAUUCGCCGGCGACGAGUGCACGCCGACCAGGCAGGCAGGUGGCGGCGCGCUUCGGGCGUGGGCGCGAUGUGGGUCAUGCGGCCGGAUAAGCGCACGCGGUUGGGCGUUGACUCGCCCGAGACGACGACUAUCGACGGCGUGUUUGGCUACAACGGGGAAAAGGAAUGGUAAUUUAGAACAUCUAUGGCCGGCCGCCACCUGACUAUGCUACAAGGGACUAGAAUACUCCCUUCUUCUUUUUAAGGACGCACCACACAGACAUUUAGGGGGUGUGCCGCACGCCUCGUGUGGCAUCGACACAACCCCGUCCGCACGACGACGUCCGGGCGCACCCAACCACAGCCCUCACGUUCGGUGUGUGGCGCAAUUGCCCACACGUCCGGGCAAGCGACCUCGUGACCCGCACAACCUUUCUCGCCCGUCGUCCCUCUCCGCCUGCGAACCACAGUGCCACCGUCCGUCGUCUCCAACCUCUGAAUCGAUCAAUCUUCCCCUACCUCCAACGUCUUCCUUCUUUAGUUGACAUGGCAAUCAGAUCAGAUCUCUAGCGCCCCCUAUCCCCAUCGACGGAAAACACGACAACGAGCUCAUAGGUCGUUCUCCUAUCUCCUCCUCCUUCCCCUGGCCCCCAAUAAUUUUACUUCUAGAUUGCCCACGUAGAUGGCGACUGGAUCCACAGUGUUAUGGCCACACCACUGUUUUGUGUCGCAAGGAUCUACAACUAACAUCAAUUCCGGUCGUUUAUGUUUAUUCCCCUUUGCCCUCCAACGAACACAAAAUUUGCCAUGUUCUAUCCUAGAUCUGAUAUAAGCUUUUAGGUUGGGGUUGCUACUAGUAGGUGCUCGAGAAGGAUGUUUAGGAUUCACUAAGAUCAGGGCAGAACAGAGCAAUUUGGGCGGCACAUAUGGAGGGAAAAAAUUAGUUGCCACCUAUCUUUGUUGUUAGUUGCCAUCAUAUUAUGUUGGUUGUUGCCAGCAGUUCAACAUGAUAGUUGCCAUCUAGAUUGUAGAAAAGAGAAUGAAUAUGCAUGCCCUAUCAACAGAAAUGCACGACUACGAUGUUUUCCUACUUGUCAUGCUGUAUUGGUUGUUUAUGCAAGAAAUGUGAUAAGAUUGCCGUGUUUCCUUUUGUGUGGAAACAACAAAAUGCGAUUCGAAUAGUAAUGCGUUCUUAUUCAUGCAAUGACUGAAAACACAGUAGGAGAAGCAGGAAAAAUGAAUCAUGAAGAUGGGACUGAUCCUUGGUUUUCUGGAAGGCCGCAAGCGCCCCCUUGGGAUGCAAUAGAGUACAAUCAACUCAUUUCCGCCGGACCAUUGCUGCCACUACUAGAGCAGUACGCAAACAUAGGUACGAUGCAUGAUCAAAAAAAGGACAGUUGACAUGUUUGUGGGCUUGAAAAUGGCAUUCUACUUAUGUACUACAAUGCCAUUGUUCGCAGGUUAUGACACAAUCACAUAGGCAGGGAUGUUGUGGCAAGUUGCAACACAGGAGGCUAUCGGUGAUAGAUAUACGGGAGACCAACUUCAAGUAGCAAAUGUGGAAAAUAAAGGUAACGCAAAAAAAUAGCAUACUGAUGUGGUGAAAAAAACUUGCAAGGAUGGCAAGACUUACGAGUUUUUUUAAGAACACGCAGGACCAUCAUGCAUGUUGGGGAACGUAGUAAUUUCAAAAAAAUUCCUACGAACACGCAAGAUCAUGGUGAUGCAUAGCAACGAGAGGGGGGAGUGUUGUCCACGUACCCUCGUAGACCGAAAGCGGAAGCGUUAUAUCAACACGGUUGAUGUAGUCGUACGUCUUCAUGAUCUGACCGAUCCAAGCACCGAAACUACGGCACCUCCGAGUUCUUGGCACACGUUCAGCUCGAUGACGACCCCCGGCUCCGAUCCAGCAAAGCGUCGGGGAAGAGUUCCGUCAGCAUGACGGCGUGGUGACGAUCUUGAUGUUCUACCGUCGCAGGGCUUCGCCUAAGCACCGCUACAAUAUUAUCGAUGAUUAUGGUGGAGGGGAGCACCGCACACGGCUAAGAGAACGAUCACAAAGAUCAACUUGUGUGUAUAGAGGUGCCCCCCCUGCCCCCGUAUAUAAAGGAGCAAGGGGGAGGGGCGGCCGGCCAGGAGGGGCGCGCCAGGGAGGAGUCCUACUCCUGCCGGGAGUAGGACUCCCUCCUUUUCCUUGUCCAUGUAGGAGAGGGGGAAGGAAGGGAGAGAGGAGAGGAAGGAAAGGGGGGCGCCGCCCCCCCCCCCUCCUUGUCCAAUUCAGACUAGAGGGGGAGGGGGCGCGCGGCCUACCCUGGCUGCCCCUCCUCUUCUCCACUUUAGGCCCAUAAGGCCCAUUAACCCCCCCGGGGGGGGGGGGGUCCGGUAACCCCUGGUACUCCGGUUUUAUCCGAAACUUCUCCGGAACACUUCCGGUGUCCGAAUAUAGUCGUCCAAUAUAUCAAUCUUUAUGUCUCGACCAUUUUGAGACUCCUCGUCAUGUCUGUGGUCACAUCCGGGACUCCGAAAAAACUUCGGUACAUCAAAAUAUAUAAACUCAUAAUGAAACUGUCAUCAUAACAUUAAGCGUGCGGACCCUACGGUUCGAGAACAAUGUAGACAUGACCGAGACAUGUCUCCGGUCAAUAACCAAUAGCGGAACCUGGAUGCUCAUAUUGGCUCCUACAUAUUCUAUGAAGAUCUUUAUCGGUCAGACCGCAUAACAACAUACGUUGUUCCCUUUGUCAUCGGUAUGUUACUUGCCCGAGAUUCGAUCGUCGGUAUCUCAAUACCUAGUUCAAUCUCGUUACCGGCAAGUCUCUUUACUCGUUCCGUAAUACAUCAUCUCGCAACUAACUCAUUAGUUACAAUGCUUGCAAGGCUUAUGUGAUGUGCAUUACCGAGAGGGUCCAGAGAUACCUCUCCGACAAUCGGAGUGACAAAUCCUAAUCUCGAAAUACGCCAACCCAACAUGUACCUUUGGAGACACCUGUAGAGCACCUUUAUAAUCACCCAGUUACGUUGUGACGUUUGGUAGCACACAAAGUGUUCCUCCGGUAAAUGGGAGUUGCAUAAUCUCAUAGUCAUAGGAACAUGUAUAAGUCAUGAAGAAAGCAAUAGCAACAUACUAAACGAUCAGGUGCUAAGCUAAUGAAAUGGGUCAUGUCAAUCACAUCAUUCUCCUAAUGAUGUGAUCCCGUUAAUCAAAUGACAACACAUGUCUAUGGUUAGGAAACAUAACCAUCUUCGAUUAACGAGCUAGUCAAGUAGAGGCAUACUAGUGACAUUUAGUUUGUCUAUGUAUUCACACAAGUAUUAUGUUUCCGGUUAAUACAAUUCUAGCAUGAAUAAUAAACAUUUAUCAUGAUAUAAGGAAAUAAAAUAAUAACUUUAUUAUUGCCUCUAGGCCAUAUUUCCUUCAGUCUCCCACUUGCACUAGAGUCAAUAAUCUAGAUUACACAGUAAUGAUUCUGACACCCAUGGAGCUUUGGUGCUGAUCAUGUUUUGCUCGUGGAAGAGGCUUAGUCAAUGGGUCUGCAACAUUCAGAUCUGUAUGUAUCUUGCAAAUCUCUAUGUCUCCCACCUGGACUAGAUCCCGGAUGGAAUUGAAGCGUCUCUUGAUGUGCUUGGUUCUCUUGUGAGAUAUGGAUUCCUUUGCCAAGGCAAUUGCACCAGUAUUGUCACAAAAGAUUUUCAUUGGACCCGAUGCACUAGGUAUGACACCUAGAUCGGAUAUGAACUCCUUCAUCCAGACUCCUUCAUUUGCUGCUUCUGAAGCAGCUAUGUACUCCGCUUCACAUGUAGAUCCCGCCACAACGCUUUGUUUAGAACUGCACCAACUGACAGCUCCACCGCUUAAUGUAAACACGUAUCCGGUUUGCGAUUUAGAAUCGUCCAGAUCAGUGUCAAAGCUUGCAUCAACGUAACCAUUUACGAUGAGCUCUUUGUCACCUCCAUAUACGAGAAACAUAUCCUUAGUCCUUUUCAGGUAUUUCAGGAUGUUCUUGACCGUUGUCCAGUGAUCCACUCCUGGAUUACUUUGGUACCUCCCUGCUAGACUUAUAGCAAGACACACAUCAGGUCUGGUACACAACAUUGCAUACAUGAUAGAGCCUAUGGCUGAAGCAUAGGGAACAUCUUUCAUUUUCUCUCUAUCUUCUGCAGUGGUCGGGCAUUGAGUCUUACUCAACUUCACACCUUGUAACACAUGCAAGAAUCCUUUCUUAGCCUGAUCCAUUUUGAAUUUCUUUAAAACUUUGUCAAGGUAUGUGCUUUGUGAAAGUCCAAUUAAGCGUUUUGAUCUAUCUCUAUAGAUCUUAAUGCCCAAUAUGUAAGCAGCUUCACCGAGGUCUUUCAUUGAAAAACUCUUAUUCAAGUAACCCUUUAUGCUAUCCAGAAAUUCUAUAUCAUUUCCGAUUAGUAAUAUGUCAUCCACACAUAAUAUCAGAAAUGCUACAGAGCUCCCACUCACUUUCUUGUAAAUACAGGCUUCUCCAAAAGUCUGUACAAACCCAAAUGCUUUGAUCACACUAUCAAAGUGUUUAUUCCAACUCCGAGAGGCUUGCACCAGUCCAUAAAUGGAUCGCUGGAGCUUGCACACUUUGUUAGCUCCCUUUGGAUCGACAAAACCUUCUGGCUGCAUCAUAUACAACUCUUCUUCCAGAAAUCCAUUCAGGAAUGCAGUUUUGACAUCCAUCUGCCAAAUUUCAUAAUCGUAAAAUGCGGCAAUCACUAACAUGAUUCGGACAGACUUAAGCAUCGCUACGGGUGAGAAAGUCUCAUCGUAGUCAAUCCCUUGAACUUGUCGAAAACCUUUUGCAACAAGUCGAGCUUUGUAGACAAUAACAUUACGGUCAGCGUCAGUCUUCUUCUUAAAGAUCCAUUUAUUCUCAAUUGCUUGCCGAUCAUUGGGCAAGUCAACCAAAGUCCAUACUUUGUUCUCAUACAUGGAUCCCAUCUCAGAUUUCAUGGCUUCAAGCCAUUUUGCGGAAUCUGGGCUCACCAUCGCUUCUUCAUAGUUCGUAGGUUCAUCAUGAUCUAGUAGCAUGACUUCCAGAAUAGGAUUACCGUACCACUCUGGUGCGGAUCUUACUCUGGUUGAUCUACGAGGUUCAGUAGUAACUUGUUUUGAAGCUUCAUGAUCAUUAUCAUUAGCUUCCUCACUAAUUGGUGUAGGUGUCACAAAAACCGGUUUCUGUGAUGUACUACUUUCCAAUAAGGGAGCAGGUACAGUUACCUCAUCAAGUUCUACUUUCCUCCCACUCACUUCUUUCGAGAGAAACUCCUUCUCUAGAAAGGAUCCAUUCUUGGCGACAAAUGUCUUGCCUUCGGAUCUGUGAUAGAAGGUGUACCCAACAGUCUCCUUUGGGUAUCCUAUGAAGACACAUUUCUCCGAUUUGGGUUCGAGCUUAUCGGGUUAAAGUUUUUUCACAUAAGCAUCGCAGCCCCAAACUUUCAGAAACGACAACUUUGGUUUCUUGCCAAACCACAGUUCAUAAGGCGUCGUCUCAAUGGAUUUUGAUGGUGCCCUAUUUAACGUGAAUGCGGCCGUCUCUAAAGCAUAACCCCAAAACGAUAGCGGUAAAUCUAUAAGAGACAUCAUAGAUCGCACCAUAUCAAGUAAAGUACGAUUACGACGUUCGGACACACCAUUACACUAUGGUGUUCCGGGUGGCAUGAGUUGCGAAACUAUUCCCCAUUGUUUCAAAUGUAGGCCAAACUCAUAACUCAAAUAUUCUCCUCCACGAUCAGAUCGUAGAAACUUUAUUUUCUUGUUACGAUGAUUUUCAACUUCACUCUGAAAUUCUUUGAACUUUUCAAAUGUUUCAGAUUUAUGUUUCAUUAAGUAGAUAUACCCAUAUCUGCUUAAAUCAUCUGUGAAGGUGAGAAAAUAACGAUAUUCGCCACGAGCCUCAACAUUCAUCGGACCACAUACAUCUGUAUGUAUGAUUUCCAACAAAUCUGUUGCUCUCUCCAUAGUACCGGAGAACGGCGUUUUAGUCAUCUUGCCCAUGAGGCACGGUUCGCAAGUACCAAGUGAUUCAUAAUCAAGUGGUUCCAAAAGUCCAUCAGUAUGGAGUUUCUUCAUGCGUUUUACACCGAUAUGACCUAAACGGCAGUGCCACAAAUAAGUUGCACUAUCAUUAUCAACUCUGCAUCUUUUGGUUUCAACAUUAUGAAUAUGUGUAUCACUACUAUCGAGAUUCAUAAAAAUAGACCACUCUUCAAGGGUGCAUGACCAUAAAAGAUAUUACUCAUAUAAAUAGAACAACCAUUAUUCUCUGAUUUAAAUGAAUAACCGUCUCGCAUCAAACAAGAUCCAGAUAUAAUGUUCAUGCUCAACGCUGGCACCAAAUAACAAUUAUUUAGGUCUAAUACUAAUCCCGAUGGUAGAUGUAGAGGUAGCGUGCCGACCGCGAUCACAUCGACUUUGGAACCGUUUCCCAUGCGCAUCGUCACCUCGUCCUUCGCCAGUGUUCGCUUAAUCCGUAGUCCCUGUUUCGAGUUGCAAAUAUUAGCAACAUAACCAGUAUCAAAUACCCAGGUGCUACUGCGAGCUCUAGUAAGGUACACAUCAAUAACAUGUAUAUCACAUAUACCUUUGUUCACCUUGCCAUCCUUCUUAUCCGCCAAAUACUUCGAGCAGUUCCGCUUCCAGUGACCAGUCUGCUUGCAGUAGAAGCACUCAGUUUCAGGCUUAGGUCCAGAUUUGGGUUUCUUCUCCUGAGCAGCAACUUGCUUGCUGUUCUUCUUGAAGUUCCCUUUCUUCUUCCCUUUGCCCCUUUUCUUGAAACCAGUGGUCUUGUUGACCAUCAACACUAGAUGCUCCUUCUUGAUUUCUACCUCCGUAGCUUUUAGCAUUGCGAAGAGCUCGGGAAUUGUCUUAUCCAUCCCUUGCAUAUUAUAGUUCAUCACGAAGCUCUUGUAGCUAGGUGGAAGUGAUUGGAGAAUUCUGUCAAUGACGCAAUCAUCCGGAAGAUUAACUCCCAGUUGAAUCAAGUGAUUAUUAUACCCAGACAUUUUGAGUAUAUGCUCACUGACAGAACUGUUCUCCUCCAUCUUGCAGCUAUAGAAUUUAUUGGAGACUUCAUAUCUCUCAAUCCGGGCAUUUGCUUGAAAUAUUAACUUCAACUCCUGGAACAUCUCAUAUGCUCCAUGACGUUCAAAACGUCGUUGAAGUCCCGAUUCUAAGCCGUAAAGCAUGGCACAUUGAACUAUUGAGUAGUCAUCGGCUUUGCUAUGCCAGACGUUCUUAACGUCGUCAGUUGCAUCAGCAGCAGGCCUGGCACCUAGCGGUGCUUCCAGGACGUAACUCUUCUGUGCAGCAAUAAGGAUAAUCCUCAAGUUACGGACCCAGUUCGUGUAAUUGCUACCAUCAUCUUUCAACUUUGCUUUCUCAAGGAACGCAUUAAAAUUCAACGGAACAACAGCACGGGCCAUCUAUCUACAAUCAAACAUAAACAAGCAAGAUACUAUCAGGUACUAAGUUCAUGAUAAAUUUAAGUUCAAUUAAUCAUAUUACUUAAGAACUCCCACUUAGAAAGACAUCCCUCUAAACCAAAUCAACUAAACCAUAAUCGAUCAUCACGUGAAAUGGAGUAGUUUUGAAUGGUGAACAUCGCUAUGUUGAUCAUAUCUACUAUAUGAUUCACGCUCGACCUUUCGGUCUCAGUGUUCCGAGGCCAUAUCCGCAUAUGCUAGGCUCGUCAAGUUUAACCUGAGUAUUCUGCGUGUGCAAAACUGGCUUGCACCCGUUGUAGAUGGACGUAGAGCUUAUCACACCCGAUCAUCACGUGGUGUCUGGGCACGACGAACUUUGGCAACGGUGCAUACUAAGGGAGAACACCUUUAUCUUGAAAUUUAGUGAGAGAUCAUCUUAUAGUGCUACCAUCAAUCAAAGCAAGAUAAGAUGCAUAAAAGAUAAACAUCACAUGCAAUCAAUAUAAGUGAUAUGAUAUGGCCAUCAUCAUCUUGUGCUUGUGAUCUCCAUCUCCGAAGCAUCGUCAUGAUCACCAUCGUCACCUGCGCGACACCUUGAUCUCCAUCGUAGCAUCAUUGUCGUCUCGCCAAUCUUAUGCUUCUACGACUAUCGCUACCGCUUAGUGAUAAAGUAAAGCAUUACAGGGCGAUUGCAUUGCAUACAAUAAAGCGACAACCAUAUGGCUCCUGCCAGUUGCCGAUAACUCAGUUACAAAACAUGAUCAUCUCAUACAAUAAAAUUUAGCAUCAUGUCUUGACCAUAUCACAUCACAACAUGCCCUGCAAAAACAAGUUAGACGUCCUCUACUUUGUUUGUUGCAAGUUUUACGUGGCUGCUACGGGCUUAAGCAAGAACCAAUCUUACCUACGCAUCAAAACCACAAUGAUAGUUUGUCAAGUUGGUGCUGUUUUAACCUUCGCAAGGACCGGGCGUAGCCACACUCGGUUCAACUAAAGUUGGAGAAACUGACACCCGCCAGCCACCCGUGUGCAAAGCACGUCGGUAGAACCAGUCUCGCGUAAGCGUACGCGUAAUGUCGGUCCGGCCCGCUUCAUCCAACAAUACCGCCGAACCAAAGUAUGACAUGCUGGUAAGCAUUAUGACUUAUAUCGCCCACAACUCACUUGUGUUCUACUCGUGCAUAUAACAUCAACACAUAAAACCUAGGCUCGGAUGCCACUGUUGGGGAACGUAGUAAUUUCAAAAAAAUUCCUACGCACACGCAAGAUCAUGGUGAUGCAUAGCAACGAGAGGGGAGAGUGUUGUCCACGUACCCUCGUAGACCGAAAGCGGAAGCGUUAUAUCAACGCGGUUGAUGUAGUCGUACGUCUUCACGAUCCGAUCGAUCCAAGCACCGAAACUACGGCACCUCCGAGUUCUUGGCACACGUUCAGCUCGAUGACGAUCCCCGGGCUCCGAUCCAGCAAAGCGUCGGGGAAGAGUUCCGUCAGCACGACGGCGUGGUGACGAUCUUGAUGUUCUACCAUCGCAGGGCUUCGCCUAAGCACCGCUACAAUAUUAUCGAGGAUUAUGGUGGAGGGGAGCACCGCACACGGCUAAGAGAACGAUCACGAAGAUCAACUUGUGUUUAUAGAGGUGCCCCCUACCCACGUAUAUAAAGGAGAAAGGGGGAGGGGCGGCCGGCCGGGAGGGGCGCGCCAGGGAGGAGUCCUACUCCUACCGGGAGUAGGACUCCCUCCUUUUCCUUGUCCAUGUAGGAGAGGGGGAAGGAAGGGAGAGAGGAGAGGAAGGAAAGGGGGGGGGCGCCGCCCCCCUCCUUGUCCAAUUCAGACUAGAGGGGAAGGGGGCGCGCGGCCUACCCUGGCCGCCCCUCCUCUUCUCCACUUUAGGCCCAUAAGGCCCAUUGACCCCCGGGGGGUUCCGGUAACCCCCCGGUACUCCGGUUUUAUCCGAAACUUCUCCGAAACACUUCCGGUGUCCGAAUAUAGUCGUCCAAUAUAUCAAUCCUUAUGUCUCGACCAUUUCGAGACUCCUCGUCAUGUCCGUGAUCACAUCCGGGACUCCGAACAAACUUCGGUACAUCAAAAUAUAUAAACUCAUAAUGAAACUAUCAUCGUAACGUUAAGCGUGCGGACCCUACGGUUCGAGAACAAUGUAGACAUGACCGAGACAUGUCUCCGGUCAAUAACCAAUAGCGGAACCUGGAUGCUCAUAUUGGCUCCUACAUAUUCUACGAAGAUCUUUAUCGGUCAGACCGCAUAACAACAUAUGUUGUUCCCUUUGUCAUCGAUAUUUUACUUGCCCGAGAUUCGAUCGUCGGUAUCUCAAUACCUAGUUCAAUCUCGUUACCGGCAAGCCUCUUUACUUGUUCCGUAAUACAUCGUCUCGCAACUAACUCAUUAGUUACAAUGCUUGCAAGGCUUAUGUGAUGUGCAUUACUGAGAGGGCCCAGAGAUACCUCUCCGAUAAUCGGAGUGACAAAUCCUAAUCUCGAAAUACGCCAACCCAACAUGUACCUUUGCAGACACCUGUAGAGCACCUUUAUAAUCACCCAGUUACGUUGUGACAUUUGGUAGCACACAAAGUGUUCCUCCGGUAAACGGGAGUUGCAUAAUCUCAUAGCCAUAGGAACAUGUAUAAGUCAUGAAGAAAGCAAUAGCAACAUACUAAACGAUCAGGUGCUAAGCUAAUGAAAUGGGUCAUGUCAAUCACAUCAUUCUCCUAAUGAUGUGAUCCCGUUAAUCAAAUGACAACACAUGUCUAUGGUUAGGAAACAUAACCAUCUUCGAUUAACGAGCUAGUCAAGUAGAGGUAUACUAGUGACAUUUAGUUUGUCUAUGUAUUCACACAAGUAUUAUGUUUCCGAUUAAUACAAUUCUAGCAUGAAUAAUAAACAUUUAUCAUGAUAUAAGGAAAUAAAAUAAUAACUUUAUUAUUGCCUCUAGGGCAUAUUUCCUUCAAUGCAGCACGUGGCAAUAGGCGGCAACCGGAUACCUACCAUCAACGUCGUACGCGGGUGAGACGUAUGAUGUGAUCUUGCGGAUAGUGUAUCAGAAAAAGGAAACCAGGUGACAUUGGUGUUUACGUGGUGUGACAAAAUUUAUAAAAAAGAUGACAUUGGCGUUUGUUGCUGAUAGAAAUAGAAAAAAUGAUGGAAAGUGCAUUUGCCAAGCCUGAUAACCUGUAUUUGCCACAUGUGGACAACUGCGGGUGUCAAAUUGAAUCUAUGACUAACAGUUGCCACAUGUGAUUGCACGCAGUUGCCAUGUCUUAACAACUGCAGUUGCCAUGUCUUAACAGCUGCAGUUGCGAUGACUAAACAACUGUGAUUGCCAUGUGUGAACAACUGUGGUUGCCAUGUGUGAACAACUGUGGUUGCCAAGUGUGAACAACUACAAUUACCAUGUUAUAAAAACUAUGGUUGCCAUGCAUUGACCAACUAUAGUUGGUCAAUGCUUCUCAACUGUAGUUGCCUUGCAUGGUGGACUAUAUUUGCCAUGAUUUCAAAGCUAAACUUCCACAUGAUCGCAGGUUGUUAUGGCGGAACCACACUAGCAAAGGUCUCAUGGCAAGCUUCACCAUUGCAGGCCAUGGUAUUAUAGAUACAGCACACCAAAUUGAAGUGACACACCAACUUCGAUUAGCACAUGCAGCACAACAAGGUAAAUUUGUGAACCAAUAAAAAUCAUGCAUUUGCUUUUGUGGAAAAGCAUUAGGGAAAGUGGAUUUGUCACGAUGGUGGUGGCAAACUGCGAUUGCCACCAAGUGGAUACGUCCAUUUGUCAUCAAUGAUCAUCUGGAUUAUCUGCAUUUGCCUUGUGGGCUCAUAUGUAGAAUGCAAGUUUUGAUGUUAAGAUGCUAGUUGCCAUGACUUGGCAACUGCAGCUGUCAUAUUAGGUCAACUGUAGCUGCCAUGGCUGAAAAACUGCAAUUGCCAUGCAUGGCCAAACGCAGAUGCUCAAGGCUUGCAUGUAUGAAUGAUAUCAUGCCAAUCAGAUGCAGCUGUUGUAUUUCAUUAUGAUGAAUAUGCCAUUCAAGCAAUACUGCCUACACAUGUACCUGCUUUUUGCAGGAGCUUCAACUACAAUCAACAGCGGUGCAGGAACAUCUACUGCGGGUACCUCAAAGCACGUGGACGGGGCGUUCCACAAUGAAGUCAACGAUGCUGCCACAAAUAAUGUAGAAUCAGUGUUAGAACUAGCAAUCAUUAAAGCAAUGACGACAAGCAUGCCUGUGCACACCAGCACAAGCAACACUCAAGCAGAUGAAACAGCCGCCAAUACUGAAGUGAUUAUGUUAUUUUUAUGACCAACAUUGUUAACAACAUGAUCAUGUUUUAUCAUUGAAAUUAAAGGUGCAUUUAUUUCUCAUAUUUUUCCCAAUGGUAAUAUAGAUUUAAUUGCAUAGACAAUUGUAUGUUUAAUUUGACCAACGUUAGAUUAAUGCAUAUGAUUGUUAUACUGAUCUCACUUAAAUUGUGAUUUUAGGAGGCUUUCACUUGAUGAGUUGCCUAAAAGAUGUCCCGACACUCAGAGGUGACAAUUACACUGAGUGGAGGAAGAAAGCAGAACUGGCAUUUGUCUGUGCUGAGCUGGACUGGGUUGUGGACAUUCCACAGCCGGUCAGACCUACAAAGCCAAUAAGAGAGGCCACUGAUGAUGAUGCUGCGCGGGAUAAAAAGAGGGCGGAUUAUGCUCCUUUGGAGAUGUCAUACUCCAUAGAAAACCAAAAUUGGGUCAAUGCAAACAAAAAGUGCAUGACAUUUAUAAAGAAUACAAUUGAGAGCACCGUUAUAGGCUCCACUGCAGAGUGCACUUCCGCAGGGGAGUUGCUUACAAAGAUAAAGAUCCAGUUCACUGGCUCUUCAAAGAUAUAUGCCACCCAGGUGUUGAAGCAACUGGUGACAGAACACUACAUAUGUGGUAGUCAUGGAAUAAGAGAGCACAUCCUCAGGAUGAGCAAUAUGGAAGCAAAGCUAAAGCCCAUGGAUGAGGACCUGGAGAUCAAACCAAAGCUCCUGGUCCACCUGGUCAUGGCUUCACUGCCAAAGGAGUUUGAAACUUUUGUUGUAAACUAAUAUAUGUCACUGGGACAUGGGACAUUGAAAAGAUAAUAGCAAUAUGUGUCCAAGAAGAGGACAGACUCAAAGCUUCACGGUGGUUCACUCAACUAUGUGAAGGAUCACAAGAAAAAGAAUUACAAUCAAAACAACAAAAGCUCCCCUUCAAAGCCACAAGGAAAAGCUCCCUAUCAGCAUCAGCGUCAGCAACAGCCUUUCCUAGUGGACAAAGACACUUAUCUCCACUGUAAGAAGAACGGGCAUUACAAGAAAGACUGCCCUGAUUGGCUAAAGUCAAUCAUGGAAAAAAGAGGUAACAAUAUAGUUUCAUUUGUAAAUGAAUUCCUAUAUACACAGUUUUGAAAAUCCACUUGGUGGAUUGACUCAGGAGCAACUGUUCAUGUUGCAAAUUCUUUAUAGGGAUUCCACUCGACGCGGACUACGCAAAGAAGCGAAAGAUGCAUUGAAGUGGCAAACGGAGUUGAAACAGAAGUUGAAGGUGCCAGUGACAUCUCCUUGGAGUUAGCUGAUGGAUUCAAUCUUCUACUUAGAGAUGUUUUAUUUGUUCCAUCAUGUCAUAGAAACUUAAUUAGUGUUUCUUUUUUGGACAAAGAUAAUUAUGAAUGUCAUUAUGGACAUGGCAAGUGUGCCAUAUGGUUAAAUAAUGCUUAUGUGGGUGAUGCUUUACUACACGAUGAGCUUUAUUUAUUAUCACUACAUGAAAAAGUGCAUUCUAUGUGUAAUGUGAAAGAACAUGUUUCCGCGUCGAAUAAAUAACAAAAGAAAAGAAAGAGAAUAUUCGACUCAUCGAAAUUAUGGCACUAUCGCUUGGGCCAUAUUUCCAAGGGGAGAAUAGAAAGAUUAGUUUUAAAAGUGAAAUUCUUCCUCCACUAGAAUUCUCAGACUUAGAACAAUGCAUAGAUUGCAUUAAAGGAAAGUAUGUAAAACAAAUCAAAAAAGGUGCAAUCCAUAGCAUAGGCACACUAGAAAUCAUCCACACUAACAUUUGUGGACCAUUUCCGGUGAAAAGUGUGGAUGGAUAUGACUCGUUCAUAACAUUCACGGACGAUUACUCUCGCUAUGGUUAUAUUUAUCCAAUCAAAGAAAGAUCGGAAGCGUUGGAUAAAUUUAAAAUAUUCAAAGCUGAUGUUGAAAAUCAGCAUGAUAAAAGAAUAAAGAUAGUAAGGUCCGACCGUGGGGGAGAGUACUACGGUCGGCACACUCCAUAUGGCCAAGUCCCUGGACCUUUUGCGAAGUUCUUGCAGGAGAUUGGCAUAGUAGCCCAGUAUUCAAUGUCGGGCGAGCCUCGGCAAAAUGAAGUAGCUGAAAAGUGCAACCGUACACUUAUGGAUAUGGUGCGCAGCAUGAUGAGUUAUUCCAACUUGCCAUUGUGAUUAUGGAUGGAGGCGCUUAAAACCGCCACUCACAUUCUCAAUAGAGUACCAAGCAAGUCGGUGCCCAUAACACUGUAUGAGCUAUUUACAGGAACGGUGCCCUCCCUACAACACUUCAGGGCGUGUGGGUGCCCUGCUGAGGCCAAAAUGUUUAAUCCAAACAUUGCAAAGUUAGAUCCCAAAAUAGUGAGUUGCCACUUCAUUGGCUAUCCAGACAGAUCAAAGGGUUUUCAUUUCUAAUGCCCAGACAGAUAUACAAAUUUUGUAGAAACAAUACAUGCAAUCUUCUUAGAGGAAGAAAUGAUGAGGGGGAGCUUGGUAGCUCAGAAAAUUGAUCUUGAGGAGAAGAGGGUGCAUGCACCUAAUCCGAUGAUUCAGAAGCCAUUUUUCUGAAGGAAAUAUGCCCUAGAGGCAAUAAUAAAGUUAUUAUUUAUUUAGAAUUGUAUUAACCAGAAACAUAAUACAUGUGUGAAUAUAUAGACAAACAGAGUGUCACUAGUAUGCCUCUACUUGACUAGCUCGUUAAUCAAAGAUGGUUAAGUUUCCUAACCAUAGACAUGAGUUGUCAUUUGAUUAACGGGAUUUGACCCAUUCCGUUAGCUUAGCACUUGAUCGUUUAGUAUGUUGCUAUUGCUUUCUUCAUGACUUAUACAUGUUCCUAUGACUAUGAGAUUAUGCAACUCCCGUUUACCAGAGGAACACUUUGUGUGCUACCAAACGUCACAACGUAACUGGGUGAUUAUAAAGGUGCUCUACAGGUGUCCCCGAAGGUACUUGUUGGGUUGGCGUAUUUCGAGAUUAGGAUUUGUCACUCCGAUUGUCGGAGAGGUAUCUCUGGGCCCACUCGGUAAUGCACAUCACUAUAAGCCUUGCAAGCAUUGCAACUAAUGAGUUAGUUGCGAGAUGAUGUAUUACAGAACAAGUAAAGAGACUUGCCGGUAACGAGAUUGAACUAGGUAUUGAGAUACCGACGAUCGAAUCUUGGGCAAGUAACAUACCUAUGACAAAGGGAACAACGAAUGUUGUUAUACGGUUUGACCGAUAAAGAUCUUCGUAGAAUAUGUGGGAGCCAAUAUGAGCAUCCAGGUUCCGCUAUUGGUUAUUGACCGGAGACGUGUCUCGGUCAUGUCUACAUAGUUCUCGAACCCAUAGGGUCCGCACGCUUAAAGUUCGAUGACGGUUAUAUUAUGUGUUUAUGUGUUUUGAUGUACCGAAGGUAGUUCGAAGUCCCGGAUGAGAUCGGGGACAUGACGAGGAGUCUCGAAAUGGUCUAGACGUAAAGAUCGAUAUAUUGGACGACUAUAUUCGUGUUGGGGAACGUUGCAGAAAACAAAAAAUUUCCUACGGUUUCACCAAGAUCCAUCUAUGAUUUCAUCUAGCAACGAGUAUUCAGAUUGCAUCUACAUACCUUUGUAGAUCGCGAGCGGAAGCGUUCACUAGAACGUGGAUGAUGGAGUCGUACUCGCCGUGAUCCAAAUCACCGAUGACCAAGCGCCGAACGGACGGCACUUCCGCGUUCAACACACGUACGGAGCGGAUGACGUCUCCUCCUUCUUGAUCCAGCAAGGGGAAAGGAGAGGUUGAGGAAGAUGGCUCCAGCAGCAGCACGACGGCGUGGUGUUGGUGGAGAGGCAGUACUCCGGCAGGGCUUCGCCAAGCGCAUGACGGAGGAGGAGAGGUGUUGCAGGGGAGAGGGAGGCGCCAAGAUGCAAGGGUGCGGCUGCCCCUCCCUCCCCCCUUUAUAUAGGCCCCUGGAGGGGCGCCGUCCCUUGGAGAUUAGAUCUCCCAAGGGGGGCGGCGGCCAGCGGGGUGGAGUACCCCCCAAGGCAAGUGGGGCGCCCCCCACCCUAGGGUUUCCAACCCUAGGCGCAGGGGUGGGCCAAGGGGGGCGCACCAGCUCACUAGGGGCUGGUUCCCCCUCCCACUUCAGCCCAUGGGGCCCUCCGGGAUGGGUGGCCCCACCCGGUGGACCCCCGGGACCCAUCCUGUGGUCCCGGUACAAUACCGGUGACCCCCGAAUCUUUCCCGAUGGCUGAAACUGCACUUCCUAUAUAUAUUCUUUACCUCCGGACCAUUCCGGAACUCCUCGUGACGUACGGGAUCUCAUCCGGGACUCCGAACAACUUUCGGAUUACUGCAUAUACAUAUAUUUACAACCCUAGCGUCACCGAACCUUAAGUGUGUAGACCCUACGGGUUCGGGAGACAUGUAGACAUGACAGAGACACCUCUCCGGCCAAUAACCAAUAGCGGGAUCUGGAUACCCAUGUUGGCUCCCACAUACUCCUCGAUGAUCUCAUCGGAUGAACCACGAUGUCGAGGAUUCACUCAAUCCCAUAUACAAUUCCCUUUGUCAAUCGGUAUUUUACUUGCCCGAGAUUCGAUCGUCGGUAUCCCAAUACCUCGUUCAAUCUCGUUACCGGCAAGUCACUUUACUCGUACCAUAAUGCAUGAUCCCGUGAUCAAACACUUUGAUCACAUUGAGCUCAUUAUGAUGAUGCAUUACCGAGUGGGCCCGGUGAUACCUCUCCGUAAUACAGAGUGACAAAUCCCAGUCUCGAUCCAUGUCAACCCAACAGACACUUUCGGAGAUACCCGUAGUAUACCUUUAUAGUCACCCAGUUACGUUGUGACGUUUGGCACACCCAAAGCACUCCUACGGUAUCCGGGAGUUACACGAUCUCAUGGUCUAAGGAAAAGAUACUUGACAUUGGAAAAGCUCUAGCAAACGAAUUAUACGAUCUUGUGCUUAUGCUUAGGAUUGGGUCUUGUCCAUCACAUCAUUCUCCUAAUGAUGUGAUCUCGUUAUCAAUGACAUCCAAUGUCCAUAGUCAGGAAACCAUGACUAUCAGUUGAUCAACGAGCUAGUCUACUAGAGGUUUACUAGGGACAUGUUGGUAUCUAUGUAUUCACACAUGUAUUACGAUUUCCGGAUAACACAAUUAUAGCAUGAAUAAAAGACAAUUAUCAUGAACAAGGAAAUAUAAUAAUAAUGCUUUUAUUAUUGCCUCUAGGGCAUAUUUCCAACAGUCUCCCACUUGCACUAGAGUCAAUAAUCUAGUUACAUUGUGAUGAAUCAAACACCCAUAGAGUUCUGGUGUUGAUCAUGUUUUGCUCUAGGGAGAGGUUCAGUCAACGGAUCUGCGACAUUCAGAUCCGUAUGCACUUUGCAAAUUUCUAUGUCUCCAUCUUGAACAUUUUCACGGAUGGAGUUGAAGCGACACUUGAUGUGCCUGGUCUUCUUGUGAAACCUGGGCUCCUUGGCAAGUGCAAUAGCUCCAGUGUUGUCGCAGAAGAGUUUGAUUGGCCCCGACGCAUUGGGUAUGACUCCUAGGUCGGUGAUGAACUCCUUCACCCAAAUUGCUUCAUGCGCUACCUCCGAGGCUGCCAUGUACUCCGCUUCACAUGUAGAUCCCGCCACGACGCUCUGCUUGCAGCUGCACCAGCUUACUGCUCCACCAUUCAACAUAUACACGUAUCCGGUUUGUGACUUAGAGUCAUCCAGAUCUAUGUCGAAGUUAGCGUCGACGUAACCCUUUACGACGAGCUCUUCGUCACCUCCAUAAACGAGAAACAUGUCCUUAGUCCUUUUCAGGUACUUCAGGAUAUUCUUGACCGCUGUCCAGUGUUCCUUGCCGGGAUUACUUUGGUACCUUCCUACCAAACUUACGGCAAGGUUUACAUCAGGUCUGGUACACAGCAUGGCAUACAUAAUAGACCCUAUGGCCGAGGCAUAGGGGAUGACACUCAUCUCUUCUAUAUCUUCUGCCGUGGUCGGGCAUUGAGCUGAGCUCAAUUUCACACCUUGCAACACAGGCAAGAACCCCUUCUUGGACUGAUCCAUAUUGAACUUCUUCAAUAUCUUUUCAAGGUAUGUGCUUUGUGAAAGACCUAUGAGGCAUCUUGAUCUAUCUCUAUAGAUCUUGAUGCCUAAUAUAUAAGCAGCUUCUCCAAGGUCCUUCAUUGAAAAACUCUUAUUCAAGUAGGCCUUAAUGCUGUCCAAAAGUUCUAUAUCAUUUCCCAUCAAAAGUAUGUCAUCUACAUAUAAUAUGAGAAAUGCUACAGAGCUCCCACUCACUUUCUAGUAAACGCAGGCUUCUCCAUAAGUCUGCACAAACCCAAACGCUUUGAUCAUCUCAUCAAAGCGAAUGUUCCAACUCCGAGAUGCUUGCACCAGCCCAUAAAUGGAUCGCUGGAACUUGCAUACCUUGUUAGCAUUCUUAGGGUCGACAAAACCUUCCGGCUGCAUCAUAUACAGUUCUUCCUUAAGAUAGCCGUUAAGGAAUGCCGUUUUGACGUCCAUUUGCCAUAUCUCAUAAUCAUAGUAUGCGGCAAUUGCUAACAUGAUUCGGACGGACUUCAUCUUCGCUACGGGAGACAAAGUCUCAUCAUAGUCAACCCCUUGAACUUGUCGAUAACCCUUAGCGACAAGUCGAGCUUUAUAGAUGGUAACAUUACCAUCCGCGUCCGUCUUCUUCUUAAAGAUCCAUUUGUUUUCUAUCGCUCGCCGAUCAUCGGGCAAGUCUGUCAAAGUCCAUACAUGGAUCCUAUCUCGGAUUGCAUGGCCUCUAGCCAUUUGUUGGAAUCUGGGCCCGCCAUCGCUUCUUCAUAGUUCGAAGGUUCACCGUUGUCUAACAACAUGAUUUCCAGGACAGGGUUGCCGUACCACUCUGGUGCGGAACGUGUCCUUGUGGACCUACGAAGUUCAGUAGUAACUUGAUCCGAAGUUUCAUGAUCAUCAUCAUUAACCUCCUCUCUAACCGGUGGAGGCACCACAGAAACAUUUUCUUGAGCUGCGCUACUCUCCGGUUCAAGAGGUAAUACUUCAUCAAGUUCCACUUUCCUCCCACUUACUUCUUUCGAGAGAAACUCUUUCUCCAGAAAGGAUCCGUUCUUGGCAACAAAGAUCUUGCCUUCGGAUCUUAGGUAGAAGGUAUACCCAAUGGUUUCCUUAGGGUAUCCUAUGAAGACGCAUUUUUCCGACUUGGGUUCGAGCUUUUCAGGUUGAAGUUUCUUGACAUAAGCAUCGCAUCCCCAAACUUUUAGAAACGACAGCUUCGGUUUCUUCCCAAACCAUAAUUCAUACGGUGUCGUCUCAACGGAUUUAGACGGUGCCCUAUUUAAAGUGAAUGCAGCUGUCUCUAGAGCGUAUCCCCAAAAUGAUAGCGGUAAAUCAGUAGGAGACAUCAUAGAUCGCACCAUAUCCAAUAGAGUGCGAUUACGACAUUCGGACACACCGUUACAUUGAGGUGUUCCAGGCGGCAUGACUUGUGAAAUGAUUCCACAUUUCCUUAAGUGUGUGCCAAAUUCGUGACUUAAAUAUUCUCCUCCACGAUCUGAUCGUAAGAACUUUAUUUUUUGGUCACGUUGAUUCUCUACCUCAUUCUGAAAUUCCUUGAACUUUUCAAAGGUCUCAGACUUGUGUUUCAUCAAGUAGACAUAUCCAUAUCUACUCAAGUCAUCCGUGAGAGUGAGAACAUAACGAUAUCCUCCGCGAGCCUCAACACUCAUUGGACCGCACACAUCAGUAUGUAUGAUUUCCAAUAAGUUGGUUGCUCGCUCCAUUGUCCCGGAGAACGGAGUCUUGGUCAUUUUGCCCAUGAGGCAUGGUUCGCAUGUGUCAAAUGAUUCAUAAUCGAGAGACUCUAAAAGUCCAUCAGCAUGGAGCUUCUUCAUGCACUUGACACCAAUGUGACCAAGGCGGCAGUGCCAUAAGUAUGUGGGACUAUCGUUAUCAACUUUACACCUUUUGGUAUUCACACUAUGAAUAUGUGUAUCAUCAUGCACGAGAUUCAUUAAGAAUAAACCAUUGACCAUCGGAGCAUGACCAUAAAACAUAUCACUCAUAUAAAUAGAACAACCAUUAUUCUCGGAUUUAAAUGAGUAGCCAUCUCGUAUUAAACGAGAUCCAGAUACAAUGUUCAUGCUCAAACUUGGCACUAAAUAACAAUUAUUGAGGUUUAAAACUAAUCCCGUAGGUAAAUGUAGAGGCAGCGUGCCGACGGCGAUCACAUCGACCUUGGAACCAUUCCCGACGCGCAUUGUCACCUCGUCCUUCGCCAGUCUCUGCUUAUUCUGCAGCUCCUGCUUUGAGUUACAAAUAUGAGCAAGGCACCGGUAUCAAAUACCCAGGAGCUACUACGAGCACUGGUAAGGUACACAUCAAUUACAUGUAUAUCACAUAUACCUUUAGUGUUGCCGGCCUUCUUGUCCGCUAAGUAUUUGGGGCAGUUCCGCUUCCAGUGACCCUUCCCUUUGCAAUAAAAGCACUCAGUCUCAGGCUUGGGUCCAUGCUUUGACUUCUUCCCGGCAACUUGCUUACCGGGCGCGGCAACAUCCUUGCCGUCCUUCUUGAAGUUCUUCUUACCCUUGCCUUUCUUGAACUUGGUGGUUUUAUCGACCAUCAACACUUGAUGUUCCUUUUUGAUUUCUACCUCUGCUGAUUUCAGCAUAGCAAAUACCUCAGGAAUGGUCUUUACCAUCCCCUGCAUAUUGUAGUUCAUCACAAAGCUCUUGUAGCUAGGUGGGAGCGACUGAAGGAUUCUGUCAAUGACCGCCUCAUCUGGGAGGUUAAUCUCCAGCUGAGUCAAGCAGUUGUGCAACCCAGACAUCUUGAGUAUGUGUUCACUGACAGAACUAUUUUCCUCCAUCUUACAGCUGUAGAACUUGUCGGAGACUUCAUAUCUCUCGACCCGGGCAUGAGCUUGGAAAACCAUUUUCAGCUCUUCGAACAUCUCAUAUGCUCCGUGUUGCUCAAAAUGUUUUUGGAGCCCCGGUUCUAAGCUGUAAAGCAUGCCGCACUGAACGAGGGAGUAAUCAUCAGCACGCUGCUGCCAAGCGUUCAUAACGUCUUGGUUCUCUGGGACGGGUGCAUCACCUAGCGGUGCUUCUUGGACAUAUUGUUUCCUGGCAGCUAUGAGGAUGAUCCUCAGGUUCCGGCCCAGUCCGUAUAGUUGCUGCCAUCGUCUUUCAGCUUGAUUUUCUCUAGGAACGCGUUGAAGUUGAGGUUGACAUUAGCGUUGGCCAUUUGAUCUACAAGACAUUUAUGCAAAAGAUUUGAGACUAAGUUCAUGAUAAUUAAGUUCAUCUAAUCAAAUUAUUUAAUGAACUCCCACUCAGAUUAGACAUCCCUCUAGUCAUCUAAGUGAAACAUGAUCCGACUCGACUAGGCCGUGUCCGAUCAUCACGUGAGACGGACUAGUCAUCAUCGGUGAACAUCUCCAUGUUGAUCGUAUCUUCCAUACGACUCAUGUUCGACGUUUCGGUUUCUUGUGUUCCGAGGCCAUGUCUGUACAUGCUAGGCUCGUCAAGUCAACCUAAGUGUUUGCAUGUGUAAAUCUGUCUUACACCCGUUGUAUGUGAACGUUGGAAUCUAUCACACCCGAUCAUCACGUGGUGCUUCGAAACAACGAACUGUCGCAACGGCGCACAGUUAGGGGGAACACUUUCUUGAAAUUUAUUAUGAGGGAUCAUCUUAUUUACUACCGUCGUUCUAAGUAAACAAGAUGCAAAACAUGAUAAACAUCACAUGCAAUCAAAUAAUAAUAGUGACAUGAUAUGGCCAAUAUCAUAUAGCUCCUUUGAUCUCCAUCUUGGGGCUCCAUGAUCAUCUUGUCACCGGCAUGACACCAUGAUCUCCAUCAUCAUGAUCUCCAUCAUCGUGUCUCCAUGAAGUUGCUCGCCAACUAUUACUUCUACUACUAUGGCUAACACGUUUAGCAAUAAAGUAAAGUAAUUUACAUGGCGUUUCCAUUGACACGCAGGUCAUAAAAAAUUAUGACAACUCCUAUGGCUCCUGCCGGUUGUCAUACUCAUCGACAUGCAAGUCGUGAUUCCUAUUACAUGAACAUGAUCUCAUACAUCACAUAUAUAUCAUUCAUCAUUCAUCACAACUUUGGCCAUAUCAUAUCACAAAGCACUUGCUGCAAAAACAAGUUAGACGUCCUCUAAUUGUUGUUGCAAGUUUUACGUGGCUGCAAUAGGGUUCUAGCAAGAACAUUUUCUUACCUAUGUGAAAGCCACAGCGUGAUUUGUCAACUUCUAUUUACCCUUCAUAAGGACCCCUUUCGUCGAAUCCGCUCCAACUAAAGUGGGAGAGACAGACACCCGCCAGCCACCUUAUGCAACUAGUGCAUGUCAGUUGGUGGAACCGGUCUCACGUAAGUGUACGUGUAAGGUUGGUCCGGGCCGCUUCAUCCCACAAUACCGCUGAAGCAAAAUAAGGCUAGUAGCGGCAAGAAAGUUGACAACAGCUAUGCCCACAACAAUUGUGUUCUACUCGUGCAAAGAGAACUACGCAUAGACCUAGCUCAUGAUGCCACAGUUGGGGAACGUUGCAGAAAAAAAAAAAUUCCUACGGUUUCACCAAGAUCCAUCUAUGAGUUCAUCUAGCAACGAGUAUUCAGAUUGCAUCUACAUACCUUUGUAGAUCGCGAGCGGAAGCGUUCACUAGAACGUGGAUGAUGGAGUCGUACUCGCCGUGAUCCAAAUCACCGAUGACCAAGCGCCGAAGGGACGGCACCUCCGCGUUCAACACACGUACGGAGCGGAUGACGUCUCCUCCUUCUUGAUCCAGCAAGGGGAAAGGAGAGGUUGAGGAAGAUGGCUCCAGCAGCAGCACGACGGCAUGGUGUUGGUGGAGAGGCAGUACUCCGGCAGGGCUUCGCCAAGCGCGUGACGGAGGAGGAGAGGUGUUGCAGGGGAGAGGGAGGCGCCAAGAUGCAAGGGUGCGGCUGCCCCCUCCCUCCCCCCUUUAUAUAGGCCCCUGGGGGGGCGCCGUCCCUUGGAGAUUAGAUCUCCCAAGGGGGGCGGCGGCCAGGGGGGUGGAGUACCCCCCCAAGGCAAGUGGGGCGCCCCCACCCUAGGGUUUCCAACCCUAGGCACAGGGGUGGGCCAAGGGGGGCGCACCAGCUCACUAGGGGCUGGUUCCCCCUCCCACUUCAGCCCAUGGGGCCCUCCGGGAUGGGUGGCCCCACCCGGUGGACCCCCGGGACCCAUCCUGUGGUCCCGGUACAAUACCGGUGACCCCCGAAUCUUUCCCGAUGGCCGAAACUGCACUUCCUAUAUAUAAUUCUUUACCUCCGGACCAUUCCGGAACUCCUCGUGACGUCCAGGAUCUCAUCCGGGACUCCAAACAACUUUCGGAUUACUGCAUAUACAUAUCUUUACAACCCUAGCGUCACCGAACCUUAAGUGUGAAGACCCUACGGGUUCGGGAGACAUGUAGACAUGACCGAGACACCUCUCCGGCCAAUAACCAACAGCGGGAUCUGGAUAUACAUGUUGGCUCCCACAUACUCCUCGAUGAUCUCAUCGGAUGAACCAUGAUGUCGAGGAUUCACUCAAUCCCGUAUAAAAUUCCCUUUGUCAAUCGGUAUUUUACUUGCCCGAGAUUCGAUCGUCGGUAUCCCAAUACCUCGUUCAAUCUCGUUACCGGCAAGUCACUUUACUCGUACCAUAAUGCAUGAUCCCGUGAUCAAACACUUUGAUCACAUUGAGCUCAUUAUGAUGAUGCAUUACCGAGUGGGACCGGUGAUACCUCUCCGUAAUAUAGAGUGACAAAUCCCAGUCUCGAUCCGUGUCAACCCAACAGACACUUUCGGAGAUACCCGUAGUAUACCUUUAUAGUCACCCAGUUACGUUGUGACGUUUGGCACACCCAAAGCACUCCUACGGUAUCCGGGAGUUACACGAUCUCAUGGUCUAAGGAAAAGAUACUUGACAUUGGAAAAGCUCUAGCAAACGAAUUAUACGAUCUUGUGCUUAUGCUUAGGAUUGGGUCUUGUCCAUCACAUCAUUCUCCUAAUGAUGUGAUCUCGUUAUCAAUGACAUCCAAUGUCCAUAUUCAGGAAACCAUGACUAUCAGUUGAUCAACGAGCUAGUCAACUAGAGGCUUACUAGGGACAUGUUGGUGUCUAUGUAUUCACACAUGCAUUACGAUUUCCGGAUAACACAAUUAUAGCAUGAAUAAAAGACAAUUAUCAUGAACAAGGAAAUAUAAUAAUAAUGCUUUUAUUAUUGCCUCUAGGGCAUAUUUCCAACAAUUCGGACAUCAGAAAGGUUCCGAGUGAUUCGGGUAUUUUUUGGAGUACCGGAGAGUUACGGGAAUUCGCCGGGGAGUAUAUGGGCCUUAUUGGGCUUUAGGGGAAAGAGAGAGGAGAGGCUGCGCACCUCCCCAAGGCCUAGUCCAAAUUGGACUAGGGGGAGGGGCUGCGCCCCCUCCUUCCUUCUCUUCUCUGUUCCCUUUCCUUGACUCCUACUCCUACUACUUGGAAGGGGGGAAUCCUACUCCCGGUAGGAGUAGGACUCUUCCAGGGCGCGCCAUAGGGGCCGGCCCUCUCCCCCUCCUCCACUCCUUUAUAUACGUGGCCAGGGGGCACCCCAUAGACACAAUAAUUCAUCCCUUGGAUCUCUUAGCCGUGUGCGGUGCGCCCCUCCACCAUAAUCCACCUCGAUAAUAUCGUAGCGGUGCUUAGGCGAAGCCCUGCGACGGUAGAACAUCAUCAUCGUCACCACGCCGUCGUGCUGACGGAACUCUCCCUCAAAGCUCGGCUGGAUCGGAGUUCGAGGGACGUCAUCGAGUUGAACGUGUGCUGAACUCGGAGGUGUCGUGCGUUCGGUACUUGAUCGGUCGGAUCGUGAAGACGUACGACUACAUCAGCCGCGUUGUGCUAACGCUUCCACUUUCGGUCUACGAGGGUACGUGGACACACUCUCCCUCUCGUUGCUAUGCAUCACCAUGAUCAUGCGUGUGCAUAGGAAUUUUUUUGAAAUUACUACGUUCCCCACAGUGGUAUCCGAGCCAGGUUUAUGCAUAGAUGUUAUAUGCACGAGUAGAACACAAGUGAGUUGUAGGCGAUACAAGUCAUAUUGCUUACCAGCAUGUCAUACUUUGGUUCGGCGAUAUUGUUGGAUGAAGCGGCCCGGACCGACAUUACGCGUACGCUUACGCGAGACUGGUUCUACCGACGUGCUUUGCACACAAGUGGCUCGCGGGUGUCAGUUUCUCCAACUUUAGUUGAAUCGAGUGUGGCUACGCCCGGUCCUUGAGAAGGUUAAAACAUCACUAACUUGACAAACUAUCAUUGUGGUUUAUGCGUAGGUAAGAACGGUUCUUGCUCAGCCCGUAGCAGCCACGUAAAGCUUGCAACAACAAAGUAGAGGACGUCUAACUUGUUUUUGCAGGGCAUGUUGUGAUGUGAUAUGGUCAAGAUGUGAUGAGAUAUAAGUUGUUGUAUAAGAUGAUCAUGUUUUGUUGAAUUUAUCGACAACUGGCAGAAGCCUUAUGGUUGUCUCUUUAUUGCAUAAGAUGCAAGCGCCAAAUAAUUGCUUUACUUUAUCGCUAUGCUAUAGCAAUAGUUGCAAGAGCAAUAGUUGGCGAGACGACCAUGUGACGACACAUUGAUGUAGAUCAAGAUGAUGGAGAUCAUGGUGUCAUGCCGGUGACGAUGGAAAUCAUGACGAUGCUUUGGAGAUGGAGAUCAAAGGCACAAGAUGAUGAUGGCCAUAUCAUGUCACAUAUUUUGAUUGCAUGUGAUGUUUACCUUUUAUACAUCUUAUUUUGCUUAGUUCAGCGGUUGCUUUAUAAGAUGAUCCCUUACUAAAAUUUCAAGGUACAAGUGUUCUCCCUGAGUAUGCACCGUUGCCAAAGUUCGUCGUGCCGAGACACCACGUGAUGAUCGGGUGUGAUAAGCUCUACGUUCAUCUACAAUAGGUGGAAGCCAGUUUUGCACACACAGAAUACUCGGGUUAAACUUGACGAGCCUAGCAUAUGCAGAUAUGGCCUUGGAACACUGGAGACCGAAAGGUCGAACAUGAAUCAUAUAGCAUAUAUGAUCAACAUAGUGAUGUUCACCAUUGAAAACUACUCCAUCUCACGUGACGAUCGGACAUGGUUUAGUUGAUUUGGAUCGCGUGAUCAUUUAGAUGACUCGAGGGAUGUCUAUCUAAGUGGGAGUUCUUAAGUAAUAUGAUUAAUUGAACUUUAAUUUAUCAUGAACUUAGUCCUGGUAGUAUUAGCAUAUCUCUGUUUUAGAUCAAUAGCUCGCGAUGUUGCUCCCCGUUUAAAUUUUUAUAUGUUACUAGAGAAAACUAAGUUGAAAAAUGUUAGUAGCAAUGAUGCGGAUUGGAUCCGUGAUCUGAGGUUUAUCCUCAUUGCUGCACAGAAGAAUUAUGUCCUUGAUGCACCGCUAGGUGAUGGACCUAUUGCAGGAGCAUAUGCAAACAUUAUGAACGUUUGACAAAGCUCGGUAUGAUAACUACUUGAUAGUUUAGUGCACCAUGCUUUAUGGCUUAGAACCGGGACUUCAAAAAUGUUUUGAACGCCACAGAGUAUAUAAGAUGUUCCAAGAGUUGAAAUUGGUAUAUCAUACUCAUGCCCGUGUCGAGAGGUAUGAGACCUCUGACAGUACUUUCCCUACAAGAUGGAGGAGAAUAGCUCAACCAGUGAGCAUGUGCUCAGAUUGUCUGGGUACUACAAUUGCUUGAAUCAAGUGGGAGUUAAUCUUCCAGAUAAGAUAGUGAUUGACAGACUUCUCUAGUCACUAUCACCAAGUUACUAGAACUUCAUGAUGAACUAUAAUAUGCAAGGGAUAACGGAAACGAUUCCCAAGGUCUUCGUGAUGCUGAAAUCGAUGAAGGUAGAAAUUAAGAAAAAGCAUCAAGUGUUGAUGGUUGACAAGAACACUAGUUUCAAGAAAAAGGGCAAAGGGAAGAAGGGGAACUUGAUGAAGAACGGCAAGCAAGUUGCUGCUCAAGAGAAGAAACCCAAGUCUGGACCUAAGACUGAGACUGAGUGCUUCUAAUGCAAAGGGACUGGUCACGGGAAACGGAACUGCCCCAAGUAUUUGGCGGAUAAGAAGGAUGGCAAAGUGAACAUAUGUAUAUUUGAUAUACAUGUUAUUGA